CACCACCACCUGAAGAUCAAGCCUGAGAGUCGAUCUAGUACUAUGCAUUUUCUGUGAACUUUUUGGUAACUUGGUGCCAAAGGGGGAGAAAAAUAAAUAGAUCAUAGGCUUCGAGAGAGAGUGUUGCCUUUUUGUUCUCUCUUGCUUUGGUGGUUAAACUUUGUUUGCUUUUGAUUGCUUGAGAUACUAUGCUAUUAUCUGUGAGACAUUGAUGAUCAUGUAUUUGAUCAUAAGCUACACUUAUGCUUGUUAGAUGAUAUUAUCUUACUUAUCCUUGUAUGACCAUUCACUUUGCUUGGUGAUGAGUGCAUGUAUUUAAUCUUUAUUAUUUUGAGCGCUCCACCAAGAUGUAUGUGACAUGGAAGAGUAACCCAUGAGCCUAAUUCCUUGUGCAUUUGCAGUCCAAAGCAAAUCUUAAACUAUGCACAAAUUUAGGGGGAGCUCUUGCUUAUCACAUACUUCUCAAAGCGACGAUGUUUUUCAAUCUUAUUAUCAUUUGUCGAAGCUUUGAUCUAUAUGUUGUCAUCAAUUACCAAAAAAGGGGGAGAUUGAAAGUGCAACUAUCCCUAGGUGGUUUUGGUAAUUCAUAACAACAUAUAGCUCAUUGAGCUAAUGCUAUUUCAAGACAAAUAUUUCAGGAAAGCUCAAUGAAUGGCAUGGCAUGGAUGAUGAAAGUGGAUCCCUCAAAAUAUCAAGGACAAAGGAUUGGCUCAAGCUCAAAAGCUCAAGACUCUUCAUUUUACAUUUUAGUGAUCCAAGAUCACAUUGAGUCUAUAGGAAAAGCCAAUACUAUCAAGGAGGGAUGAGGUGUUGCUUAAUGAGCCUCUUGCUUCAAGUGCUUAGUGAUAUGCUCCAAAAACCCUCAACUACUUUCUCACAUCCACAUAUGACCUAAACCCAAAGUCAAACUCGGCCAUACCGAUUCUUUCUAUCCGGCGCCACCGAGUUCAAAUGUCAUAGCCACUGCCACAAACCCUAGGCAAAUCGGUCUUACCGAUAGGGAUCUCGGUCUCACCGAGAUGGGAUUGUAAUCUCUCUGUUUCCCUUCAUAACGUUUCGGUCUAACCGAAGUGAGCGAUUGGUCCCACCGAGAUUGCAAUGUAAACUCCCCGUUUCCCUUUCGUAACAUUUCGGUCUCACCGAAAUGAGCGAAUCGGUCCCACCGAGUUUACCUGACCAACUCUCUGGUUAGAUUAUUACCAAAAUCGGUCUCACCGAGUUUGUGUAAUCGGUCUCACCGAGAUUACGUUAUGCCCUAACCCUAACCAUAUCGGUCCUACCGAGUUGCAUGUCGGUCCCACCGAAAAUCCUAACGGUCACUAGAUUUGCUGAAUUGGUCCGACCAAGUUUACCAAUUCGGUCCCACCGAGUUUGGCAAGUUGUGUGUAACGGUUAGAUUUUGUGUGGAGGCUAUAUAUACCCCUCCACCUCCUCUUCAUUCGAGAGAGAGCCAUCAGAAUGAACCUACACUUCCAACUUACCAUUUCUGAGAGAGAACUACCUACUCAUGUGUUGAGGCCAAGAUAUUCCAUUCCUACCAUAUGAAUCUUGAUCUCUAGCCUUCCCCAAGUUGCUUUCCACUCAAAUCUUCAUUCCACCAAAUCCAAAUCCUAUGAGAGAGAGUUGAGCAUUGGGGAGACUAUCAUUUGAAGCACAAGAGCAAGGAGUUCAUCAUGAACGCACCAUUUGUUACUUCUUGGAGAGUGGUGUCUCCUAGAUUGGCUAGGUGUCACUUGGGAGCCUCCGACAAGAUUGUGGGGUUGAACCAAGGAGUUUGUAAGGGCAAGGAGAUCGCCUACUUCGUGAAUAUCUACCGCUAGUGAGGCAAGUCCUUCGUGGGCGACGGCCAUGGUGGGAUAGACAAGGUUGCUUCUUCGUGGACCCUUCGUGGGUGGAGCCCUCCGUGGACUCGCGCAACCAUUACCCUUCGUGGGUUGAAGUCUCCAUCAACGUGGAUGUACGAUAGCACCACCUAUCGGAACCACGACAAAAACAUCCGUGUCUCCAAUUGUAUUUGAAUCCUCCAAACCCUUCCCUUUACAUUCUUGCAAGUUGCAUGCUUUAAUUUCCGCUGCUCAUAUACUCUUUGCAUGCUUGCUUGAAUUGUGUGAAGAUUGCUUGACUUGUCCAAAGAUAGCUAAAAUCUGCCAAAGUCUAAAAUUGGGAAAAGGUUAAGUUUUUAAUUGGUCAAGUAGUCUAAUCACCCCCCCCCCCUCUAGACAUACUUCAAGGUCCUACAAGUGGUAUGAGAGCUUUGGUCUCCAUUUGCUUUGAUUUCAAUCUUAUUAUCAUUUGUCGAAGCUUUGAUCUAUAUGUUGUCAUCAAUUACCAAAAAAAGGGGAGAUUGAAAGUGCAACUAUCCCUAGGUGGUUUUGGUAAUUCAUAACAACAUAUAGCUCAUUGAGCUAAUGCUAUUUCAAGACAAAUAUUUCAGGAAAGCUCAAUGAAUGCCAUGGCAUGGAUGAUGAAAGUGGAUCCCUCAAAAUAUCAAGGACAAAGGAUUGGCUCAAGCUCAAAAGCUCAAGACUCUUCAUUUUACAUUUUAGUGAUCCAAGAUCACAUUGAGUCUAUAGGAAAAGCCAAUACUAUCAAGGAGGGAUGAGGUGUUGCUUAAUGAGCCUCUUGCUUCGAGUGCUUAGUGAUAUGCUCCAAAAACCCUCAACUACUUUCUCACAUCCACAUAUGACCUAAACCCAAAGUCAAACUUGGCCAUACCGAUUCUUUUUAUCCGGCGCCACCAAGUUCAAAUGUCAUAGCCACUGCCACAAACCCUAGGCAAAUCGGUCUUACCGAUAGGGAUCUCGGUCUCAUCGAGAUGGGAUUGUAAUCUCUUUGUUUCCCUUCAUAACGUUUCGGUCUAACCGAAGUGAGCGAUCGGUCCCACCGAGAUUGCAAUGUAAACUCCCAAUUUCCCUUUCGUAACAUUCCGGUCUCACCGAAAUGAGCGAAUCGGUCCCACCGAGUUUACCUGACCAACACUCUGGUUAGCUUAUUACCAAAAUCGGUCUCACCGAGUUUGUGUAACCGGUCUCACCGAGAUUACAUUAUGCCCUAACCCUAACCAUAUCGGUCCUACCGAGUUGCAUGUCAGUCCCACCGAAAAUCCUAACGGUCACUAGAUUUGCUGAAUCGGUCCGACCGAGUUUACCAAUUCGGUCCCACCGAGUUUGGCAAGUUGUGUGUAACGGUUAGAUUUUGUGUGGAGGCUAUAUAUACCCCUCCACCUUCUCUUCAUUCGAGAGAGAGCCAUCAGAAUGAACCUACACUUCCAACUUACCAUUUCUGAGAGAGAACUACCUACUCAUGUUUUGAGGCCAAGAUAUUCCAUUCCUACCAUAUGAAUCUUGAUCUCUAGCCUUCCCCAAGUUGCUUUCCACUCAAAUCUUCUUUCCACCAGAUCCAAAUCCUAUGAGAGAGAGUUGAGAGUUGGGGAGACUAUCAUUUGAAGCACAAGAGCAAGGAGUUCAUCAUCAACGCACCAUUUGUUACUUCUUGGAGAGUGGUGUCUCCUAGAUUGGCUAGGUGUCACUUGGGAGCCUCCGACAAGAUUGUGGAGUUGAACCAAGGAGUUUGUAAGGGCAAGGAGAUCGCCUACUUCAUAAAGAUCUACCGCUAGUGAGGCAAGUCCUUCGUGGGCGACGGCCAUGGUGGGAUAGACAAGGUUGCUUCUUCGUGGACCCUUCGUGGGUGGAGCCCUCCGUGGACUCGCGCAACCGUUACCCUUUGUGGGUUGAAGUCUCCAUCAACGUGGAUGUACGAUAGCACCACCUAUCGGAACCACGACAAAAACAUUCGUGUCUCCAAUUGCGUUUGAAUCCUCCAAACCCUUCCCUUUACAUUCUUGCAAGUUGCAUGCUUUAAUUUCCGCUGCUCAUAUACUCUUUGGAUGCUUGCUUGAAUUGUGUGAAGAUUGCUUGACUUGUACAAAGAUAGCUAAAAUCUGCCAAAGUCUAAAAUUGGGAAAAGGUUAAGUUUUUAAUUGGUCAAGUAGUCUAAUCACCCCCCCCCCCUCUAGACAUACUUCAAGGUCCUACAUGUGGUAUCAAAGCUUUGGUCUCCAUUUGCUUUGAUUUCCAUAGCUUUUGGUGGUCAUAGCCUUGGUUUCACAACCUAGGAGAGUAUGGCGUCUACCGAGGGAAAUUAUCACCGUAGAGAUCCUUACUUUGAUGGUACUAAUUUUGCUAGUUGGAAGCAUAAGAUGAAAAUGCAUAUUCUCGGACAUAACCCCGCCGUUCGGGCUAUUGUGUGUAUUGGCUUGCAAGGUGAAUUCUUUGAUGGGAGAGAGCCAAACCGUGAAGCUAGCGCGGAAGAAUUGAAGAUGCUGCAAUACAAUGCUCAAGCUUGUGAUAUCCUCUUCAAUGGCUUGUGCCCCGAAGAAUUCGACAAAAUCAGCCGUCUUGAGAAUGCAAAGGAAAUUUGGGAUACUUUGAUUGAUAUGCAUGAAGGUACCGACUCCGUCAAGGAAUCCAAGUUGGAUGUGCUCCAAAGUCAACUUGACAAGUUCAAAAUGAAGGAUGGUGAAGGUGUCGCUGAAAUGUACUCUAGGCUUGCUCUUAUCACAAAUGAGAUUGCCGUCUUAGGGAGUGAAGAGAUGACCGACAGAUUCAUCAUCAAGAAGAUCCUAAGAGCAUUGGAUGGAAAGUAUGAUACUGUGUGCACCUUGAUCCAAAUGAUGCCAAAUUACUAAGAGCAUUGGGAUUAUUUGGGUUUCGUAAGGUGACUUACACAACAUUUUUGUUUACAUGCAUAAACAUUUUAUUAGUUAAAUCAAAGGUCAAAACUUGGCGCAAAAUGCAAAGGGGACCAAUAAACUAGUAAACAUCAAACUUCUCUCAUUUGGCCCCAACUAGAGGUCCAGUGAGAUGACUAUACUGCACCGGCACGGAGGGGGACGCAGCUUCAUUGACUUACUACAACUGCAUUUGGGUGAAUGACACGUGGGCCCAAGGGGUGGCUAGCCCACCUAUCAUACAGCCAAAGGCAGGUGCAGUAGAGGGCCGAGGAGUAGUACGAAAUCCUACGCACCUAUGCAUGCUAACCAAGGGCAAGAGUGAUCGCUCAAAUCGCAAGAUCAGUUGACUAGAAGCUAAGCUAGACCCAUGGAGGCGAUGAGCGUGAGCAUCAGCCGGCUGUGCCAGAUGGUCCAUGACGCCGGCCUGCGGCCCGACACCGAGGAACGUCUCCAGGCAUUGCUUGAGGCCGCCAGGGCGAGGGGCCGCUUGGACGACAACUUCGUCUCCUUGUUCGACGAGGUCCUCGUCGGUUUCCUCGACAAGUUCACCGUCAUCAAGAAGCUCGCGGAUGACUUUGACGUACGCCUCCAGCCGACGCGCCCAGGCGCUGCGAUGCCCGCCACCCUCAAUGGCCACUAUGGUGACAACCUCUUCGACGCACUGGUGGCCCUGCGACUGCCCGCCGUCGCGCCGGAGAAUGUCCACCUCGAGGUCGCGCUCACCGUGCAGCACCUGGCGCAGCAAGACACCAUCGACAUAAUCACCCAUGUCUACGCACAAAUCGUCCACAAGGACUACUACAUGCAAGAGGAGGAUGAUAGGACGCUAGCCUUCUUGGACCGCAGGACAAUCUUGGACGGCAUUGUUCAGAAGCACGUUGAGCUCGUCGCCAACACCGCUGCUCCUCGCACGUCGGUUGGUGACCCGGGCACUAGGGUGUGAGGAUGUCGUUGAUGGAUCCGUAUGUAUUUUUAUCUUUCUGUCAAAUCCAUGUAGUAGUAUAUGGUACUACUAGUAAUUAUCUUACCUUUCGCAUCAACUUCAUAAUUUUCGUACGUACUCCAUGCAUGAACGGCGCCAGAACCAAACUUCUCAUUACUCUAGGCAAAAUCGUUAUUUUCUAUCUAUCGGUCGCGCCAUGGAGCAGAACCAAAUUUUACCAGUUACGAGUUCAAAAGGAAAAGCCUGCCGUGUUCGCGUCGCACCCCCACACGGUUGGUCCGGCACGCCGCUCAAGGGGGAAUGCGUGCGGUGUUGCAUUUUCACUUACAAGUGGGACCGCAGUUGAGCAAACCGACUAUCGGCAAACCCCCACCCCGCCCACCGCAUGAUGGCUGAGAAAACAGGAGGGGGAAGAGAUGGAUGUAGCACGGACUCCAAGAAAAUUGGUGUCGGAUGGGACUCGUGUGGGUGGCAUGUGUCGUACUGCUAGAUGUGAAUGCUAGUUAUGGCGCAUGCCACCCCACUAUAUCGAGCCUAUAUCGAGGUACGUAGAACAAAUUUCCUGGAGUCCGUGCUCAGCCCUCCUCAAUCUCUCUUCUCAGCCAGCCAGCGGACACGCGGAGCCCAUCGUCUGUUUGCUCACAUGCGGUCCCACAUGUCAAUGAAAACGCAAGAGGAUCCACUGAACCUGCAAUCUUUCACCUCGACGUGCUGGUGAUGAAAAACAAAUCCAAUAAAGAUCUUCGGUGGCCGCUUUUGGAGUUACUCAAGAGUAGUAAGAUUCUAUUUACAGUUUAACCCAAGAUGCACAUCACGGGGCUUCAACUACCACUCUAUUUUCUUGCAUGACACGACCUGGAUGCUGGAUGUCCCACAUGUCGGCAAAAGGAGGAAGAGCCCGACCAAAUCUUCGGUUGUGCUCUCGGAUUAGACUAGUUGUGCUAACUUAAAAAAUUUAUUGUGUACUCCCUUCGUUCCAAAAUACCUGACUUCCAUUUGUCCAAAAUGGAUGUACCUAUAUACUAAAACAUGUCUAGAUACAUCUAUAUUUUGACAAAUAGAAGGCAUGUAUUGUGGAAUGGAGGGAGUAGAAUGGAUGCAAGUUUUGGUAUUGGGAAGAAGAGUACAUCGAUAUAUUGACAGAGCGCAAUUUAGUAGAUGUUCUAGCACUUUUAGCUAGCAUAGAGGCUAGAUAUGAGACUAGUGCACUUGUUGAUACUCCUACUAGAAUAGAGGCUAGACAUGAGACUAGAUGCGAGGAAGCAACGUCUACUUCUUUACACUCGAAGAAGAAAGAAGCACGCAGGAUCGAGCCUCCGAAGAUCAACAAUGAAUGCAUCGAGAAGGCACUAAUCCAACUUACAGGAGCAGUUAUGGAAGUUGGAUAUCUUCUAGUAAAAUGUAUUCUUGUGGUUCUUGUUUUCUUUGGUCUUGCUUUUCUAGUCAAAAUUAUCAUUGGAGUUUGUGCAAAACAAAGGUCCGUUGGGGGUCGUGCGUUGGAGUUGGCCUUACAAGUGGGACCGCAGUUGAGGAAAACGACUAUCGACAAACCCCCACCUCGCCCGCCGUGUGAUGGCUGAAGUUAGAGAAACGACGAGGUUGAAGAGAUUGCUCUAGCACGGACUCCAAGAAAUAUGGUGUCAUAUGGAUGUCGUGGUGAUGGCGUGUGCCGUAGUCCUGGACGUGUAUGCUUGUUCUAGCCCAUGCCACCCUACUACUCCUACUACUUAUAUAGUACUAGUAUCGAGGAUUCGAGGUGCUGGUUACGUACAACAAACACAUUAACAUAUGGCUACAGUAAAAACACCCGCCCGACGCGCGAAGCAUGUGAAGCUACCUGUUGCAAUGCAUGUACAAUUAUGUAUUCGGAAAAUAUUUUUUUGCCUCAUCGCACCACUCACUCAGAGAAGCGACUCGAAAGCCAUUCAUAAAUUUAGUACGUUUAUCACAGGCAUAUCAUUUUAUUACAUACAACAGGUCAUCAACCCACAUCGACAACCAGGAUACAUUAUAAAUACUAAAGUUUUCAUCACACAACAAAUAACAAGCAAUGAAAUGAACUUCAACUCAACCAAUCCUCAGCGUUGGAAACACUUGCUUUGAACCACAAGUGAUUCUCUGGGACGGGCCAUCUAUUGUCGAUCUCGAAACCAACACAGGACUGAUCAUCCAGGCUGAAGCGGCCUACUAUAUCAGUACUAGGGUAGGGAACCACCCAAAUGUCCGAGGUAUAGACACAGUUGCUUCUCAUAAAUGGUACUAGUAACGUUGUGUGAACAGUAGUUGGAUCGCCUUUCACCAUCAUCGGAUAGUUUUGUCCAAGGAAGAGCGAGUUUUCUCCAAGACUAUCAAUUCUGUGCCAGGGAGAAGGUGUUGGCACUAGCACACUAGUAUCCAUCCCGAAUAUCAUGCAACGGGUGUUGGAAUAGGUCCGGAGAGUGCGACCAUGGGAGACAACACGUGCUCCCUCAGUAGUAACAAACUCAGUGCGCUGUAUACAGACAAGCAGAGGUGAUCCAUCGGAAUUAGUAGCCAGGCGCCACUGAGUAUAUACGUUCUGCUCGUCCUCAUGCUCGUGAUCAUCACCAUCGUCAUCUCCCCUUGGUUAUAAAAAUUUUCAAGUAUAGGUGGUGGAAUGUUCAUAGGACCUUGGAAACACAAGAAGAAGGUUAAUUAGUAAAGGGAAACAUGCUAACCCGCAUGCAUGUGGAUGAAACAAUUAUAAUUAUGGUGGAAGACAAAUGUACCAAAACUACGAGGAUCCCAUGCAAAAAUAGUGCCAUGAGCGGUGGAAGCAAACACAAGACCCUCGUAUUGAAUUGCAUCAUAGUACACAUCCGUGUAUAGAAACUGAUUUUUGAGCAAUAUCCAUCGAGUCGAACCACAAAGGACGGCAACAAACUUGUCGAAGAUAGCAACAACUUCAUAGUUCUUGUAAUUCCAAGAGCGGUUGGGAACUCGACAAAUUGCUAUCUUCCAUAGAAGACAGUCACCAUGAUCAUAUUUGAACGUGCGUACAAUACCGGUGUGCUCAACCUCUGGGCAGUCUACUGAGAUUUUUGGAAGUGGAACCCGGUCACGAGUGUACACAUUCACAAGUUCCCACUCGCAGUUGGACCCCAUGUAAACAGCCCAAUCUCCAUUUGCGCCUGCCCAAGCCUUACCCUCAAGCGAUGGCAUCUUAACAUCAUAUGUAUCAUUAUCAAGCAGCAUCAACUUGCAUAAGGCGAGGCCUCUGUCGUCCCCGCGCCAGUCAUCAGGGUCACUGCGAAGAAGAUAGGGGAGAUCAAACCGCUUCUUGAGUCUUGGGUUCCUUGUAAUGAUGUUAUUAGUUGAGUCGGGAAUGGUCUUGAACGAACCUGCCAUGCUAGUCGAGAUGAUGAUGUCGCACUGAUCAAUGAGUUCCUCCACCACGUCAUCUUUCAGAUUGGGGCAAGAAUAACGGGGCUGUUUCCGGCCUGUUCCCUCCAUGAAGAAGACGAUCGAACAAUGGCAGAAGGAAGGCUGAAGGGCUGAAGGAAAAUGGAGGAGGGAGAGGAAGAGCAUGCGACAGCAGUUCCAAAUCGAGAAGGAAAGGCGAAGAGUCGGUGGACGGUUGCCAGUUUGCCAUGGUUCACGAAGAGGCGCCCCGGCCUCCACGUUCAUUCAGAAAUACUAGUACAAAAGGACUCACUGUCAUCUCACUGAUAUGUUGCAACGGGACCACAUGUCAACGAAACAUGGUGUGUAAUUUCUCGUGCAAAAUGCGAUCUGGCCGCGUUGGCCUGAGGUGCCACAUUACUUAUCGACCUUUAUUUUUUUAAUGGUGUGUCGUUCAGUUUUGAAGCACGACUAACUGGUACUGUACGCAGAGAAAAUAUAAACUACUCUACCACUACUCCACCUCUAGUACUAGUAGUAUAAAAAAGAUAUAUAGGUUGGAGCUUCAGUGCUUUCUUGCUAAGGGCUGCCCACUUGCUUCUCACACUAUCACCCUCUCUUUAGAUCUAAAAAAGAUGGCCUCUCUCUCCCUCCUCACCGGUGGUCACAGAUCCGCCGGGGAAGAAAAGGACGUGCAAUGUUGACGCACUCGUCGUUGGCGAGCGAGGUCACACACUGACGACAAGGCCGUCCUCUCAGACCUAGCGCCCGCGCGGGAUGGCCUCCGUCCCCAUGCUCGCUGCCAUAGUGUGUGCGGAGAACAACGACCACGAGCGAAGCCACUUCCCGCCGACCCUCAGGUAUGCUACCUCUUUUCGAACCAUACCCUUGUUCUAUUGCCCCAUAUGCCACGUCGUUGCAUGUGGUUCUUUUUCCACUCCACCAUCUUCCCAAUUUGCUAUCCUCUGCUCUAUUGGCCACGCAGACGAAAACCAUAAUUUGCACUAUUAAAGGAAACCCUACUUCAUGCAGACUAAUCCAUGUCUGGGUUGAAUAAGGAAAGGAAGGGAUACUGUACUGUCCAAGAGAGUAGGCAUCAAACCCGCAUCUUGGUUGAAAAGGGGAAAAUCAGUAGCUAAGGAACGAGUCUCGUGUCUCUUGGUUGAAGAAGGGUAGAAGGCAUGACAGUGCAAUAGAGAAUGACCAGGUCGAUUGGUUUGUUGUCCUCACAUAGGAAAAAGGUGGCUAAAGAGAACAAAAAUGGGACGUAAUCGACAUAUGCUGCCUGGAUAUUUGUUGCUCUGGGCAACCAUACCUCCCUCACCACUCUGCGUCCGUGGAGGUACAUCGUACUGGUGCGCCCACUGUCUGAAUGGGCCUCCCAUGCUCUUAUUGCCACUUUUUUGCUGUUAGUAUAACGCCAGCAGUCAAGUCAAGCAAUGCUACUGCUAAAGUGAUGCCACAUUUAACUAAUGCCGCUCUCAGUCUAAUGCCACCGAUAAAUUUAAGCAAUGCCAUUUAAUGUCACUGGAUUAUUUCAGGGUUAGCUGUUGAUUGUGGAUGUAUUAAAGAUUAUUCAGCUAAGGCAUUCUAAUGUUGUUGCACAACCAGUAUACCAACGAUGAAACUUGUUACUACCUUCAGAUUUUUGCACUGUUAAUGCUUAUAGAUUACAUACCUCACUUUCAUGAGAUAAGUUAAUUUUUUUUGUACAGUGUCACCAAAAUGCAAAGGCGCUGAUGUCAUUUUAUUUUGGUUAAACUGCACAAAAAAAUUAUGAAGACAAGAGGAAAGGUCAAGAGUGGGCACCUCCUCCUCCAGCUGUUCUCUUGAUUCGUUCGAUCAAGUUUUUAUGUUUGAUCGAUUAUCAAGAUUAGGAUAGCAAUUUUUAUGGUCCCCCGAGUUCGAAAUGAUAUUUACCUUGGAGGUAUGGUUUGGAAUUUUUUAUACUGUCAUUAGUUAAUAAUGCUAGUUACCUUCAGACUUUUGUAUUUGGUUUAAUGCUCAUGCACAACUAGUAUACCAAUGUUGAAACAUGUUACCUUUACAUUUUGUAUUGUUAAUUCUUAUAGAAAUCUUCCAGUGCUAGAGUUUAUUGAAAUCUGUUCAGUAAAACCCUUGUACUGUACCCUGUAAUAAACUAACUACUCUAUUGUUGCACUAGCCACUGGAUUAGUGUAUAUUUGUAGUAUUCCAAUGGUGUUGCAUUAGCGUAUGGACAUAAAUAAAGUGUGGCAAGCUUUCCCAGAUAUGUGCUCAAGAAAACUACUACCUGUUUUUCUAAAUACUAAGCGUUUGGGUACUUUAAAUUGAACCAUGAAAACGUCUUAUAUUAAGGAACAGAGGGUGUAGAGUUCACUCAAAUUAUCCUGGUAAAGCUAGUCACACCUUUGUUAAAAUUAAUGUUCAUUAUGUUAUCGGAGGAGGUCUGUAUGUUUGUCUCUAAUGCCUGUCGACUACAUACCUGACAUCAUGAUGUAAUGUUAAGUCAUUUCCUUUUGUACAGUGCCACUGAAUUGUCAAGGCGGUGAUGGCAUUUUAUUUUAGUUGAACUGCACAAAAUAUGCUUAAAAGAAGAGGAAAGGUCAGGAGUCGAUCAUUCUUUCAAAAAGAACUAUAUAUGCCUUUCUGACAUCAGCCGAUGUUGCCUUAUUUAUUCCUUCAAACAGGCGGUUAGAAACAGUCGUGCUACCUUUUCCAUUAAGAAAUUGGAAUGCUUAUAUUUGUGAGUCUAUGCUUCAACUAGUGUCAUUUUUACAGUAAUCACACUUUCAAUAUCUAUGCAAACAGGGAUGCUCAAUUUUAGUGGAACUGCACAAAAAGUCCAACUGGUUCAACAUUAGGAGCAUGUUUUCUUCCAAACAUUUAUAUCUAAUUGGUGGCACUAUGAGUUGUUCAUUACGAAGGUACAUGGUUUGCUACUAUCUUGCUACUCUUUUUGUACUAUCAUUAGAUAGUAACACUAGUGGUUUGCAUGUGAAUUUAUUGGCAUGGUGGACCUACAUUGGAGGUGCAGGACAGGAUUCAAUGAUUGGAUGCUCAAUUUUGGUUGUAUCGAUUUCACCUCUUCCAUCACUGCGAACAUGGAUAUCCUUGGUCUGACGAAGAAUAGGCGCUAUAUUUCUGCUCUGAACCAGCAAAUCAAUUCAGUAUGAAAUUGUCCAGGACAAAACAUAACUGUAUCAGAUUGUCCAGUGCAGAACAUGACAGAUGCUAAGUAGAAGAGACAUGUUUAAACCGAAAAUACAAGGUGUUGUAUAUGUUUACUAGCUGCUUGAUAUUUGUGCAGACAGAGAUGUCUGCCCAUUGCUAUUUGGCAAACAAACAAAGUGUCCGCAAUUUUGGUUGAACUGCACAAGAGAAUAGUAUAGUCACUGCAUGGUGCAACUUCUGGAUCGUCUUCAUGCUACUGCGCAUCUAGAUCUCUAGAGCCCUGUUGAGAACCUCCAAGUCUUGGGCAAAUGAGUGAACGGAGUUGUCAUUUCUGGUGCGGAUGAUCUCUCCCUCUGCACUCCUGCGAGAAACCAUGGUGUGGUCUGAUCCAACAAGCUCGGCCCUGUAUUCCUCCCGUAUGCGUCCAAGUGCACUAUGAACUGCUAAGUCUCUCCCGAUGAUCCAAUCGGGUGCAAUGAACUUGAAGUCAAUGGACGCCGAGAGAUUUCCAAACGUCCUCCCUGGUAUGUGCACCUUAAUCCUGAAGCGACGUUCAUCCGGAAAUGCCAUGGUAGGGGUCCCGGUGAUUGAAAGCAGAGCAAUCUUAGAUUCCUUGGUGAUCUGUACCAUCCUCUUGCCGAAAAGCAUAGUCUCGUCGGGCUGGCAAAACUCCGGGAGCAGAACUGGGAUGAACUUAACGACCAUCUAGAAUUGUUGAAAUUGGAGAAGAGUCAGAAAUGAUCAGGGAAGAAAAACACGGAAAAGUAAAGACAUAAAGUAAACUGGUCUCUUCCUAUGGCUUUCCGAUCCUACGGGUCACGUCCUACAGUCAGCGUGUGCUCCGAUACCAUCUCUUAGCGGCCCGACCCAAAAUCGCUCAAGUCUCUGUGUAGUUGUACCAUGCCAAGAUCAUGCUGGCACACGCAGUACAUUGAUGCAAAGAUUCAAAGUUCAAUCACACCUGAAUUUAUCACACGAUUCUCAUAUCGAGUCUUUAUUACAUGAUAAUAAAUUCGGCCGAAGGCCAACUCAUGAGAAAUAAACUAAAUAAAGCUGCGGAAGCAUAGACGAAUAGCGAGUCCAUCCGACUCCAUGGGGCAAUCGCCAAGCGUGGAUCGUAGCCUCACUCCUGGUCGGAGAACUCCUCUGCAACAUAAGACGUUGCAACCGUGUAGGUCAGCAUUUUUUAAUAUGCCGACAAGUCAAGAAGAGAGAACAACAAUAAAAUUUCUAAUACUAUAUGCAAUUUGGCUGUGGGGCUCUAAGUUUCAUUGUUUUGCGAAAAAGCCAGUUUUUUCCUACAACAAAGGACUUCUUUGCAAGUACUAUAAAAUGUUGGUAGUUAUUGAGAUGGUUCCGCCAACCAAUGUCUCAUUCCCAAUUAUUAAAUAACCUCCUCAAUUAAUUUAUUAAGUUCGGUGUUGAGAUAUCCGAAAUACUCCAAGUUCUAGAGGCUCAAAUUGUCUGUAACCGGGGACACGGCUAAUCAAUUAGGUCUUCACUCUGCAGAGGUUUGUGCACUUUACCUGCAAGAAUCAUUCCCUCCUUUAAGUCUUCGCACUGCCUGGUGUUUGAAGACAGGACAAACGAAACAGGGUCUUCCGAAGAGUUCCUCUGGGCCACUGCCGAUGCCCAUCCAAUCCUAUCGUUCUUCUACAUCUUGUAGCACCGUCCGGCCAGAGUCACGCCUAGGGUCGACCAAGCCAGAGCCCAUAAUGGCUUGCGGCUGCACAGGUAAGCUUCCGGUCAAUGGGGUAUCCAUCCGUCUCUUCGUGGCUGGGUGAAGCUUUCCGCAAGAUGUCAUGGCGCUUCUCCAUGAAUCCCGGCCAUCUGCUGGUUUCUCCAGGGUGUCCGUCAACUGUCCUCCACCCAGCAGUGAAUUUUGAAGUCCAUCUUUAGCUUCAAGUCAUGGGGUUGUCAUCAUCUUAACUCUCGCAUCUCCCUUAUGAAUCACUCAACCAACCCCGUCUACUAAAGCAUAGCAAUCAACUACAUCGUCCCGGACAUCGGUAACAAGGGAGAGGGUUCAUCCUACCUCAUGAUACUACUCAAGAACAUAACUUAACAAAUUUUUCCUACUGCAUGCAUGGUGGGGAGGUAUAAUUCUAAUGCAAUAAAAUCAUAGGUAUUGUAAAAACAUGAUCAAAUGACUUGCAUGGCUGAUGGUCUUCGAAAGCUAGCGACUCGUAAUAGCAGGCUUCGCACUCCGGGAAUUCUACCGAGUCAAACAAUAGCACAAAUAAGUAUAGCACAAUAUAACAUAACAACAAGUUGAAGUAAAACACCCAAGCACUCAAACCAAAACCAAGGAAAAACUCAAAGAAAGCAAAUCAAGGUUUUCACCACAUCAAGCAACAACUAAAAAUAGUUUUAUACUACUAAAACUUUUCUUAAUAGAACCUAAACAUGGGUUUUGCUAACUAACAGAAAGGAAAACAGCAUACAAACUAGGUGCAAAAAGAAUCACAUCACAAGCUAUUAUAGAACUCCUAUUAUGCCCAAAACAUUUCUAGCAAAGAAAUUAAUAUAAAACUUUUUACUUUGCUGUAAAUAAAAGUUCAUCCUCUGUAACUACAAAAACUAAUCUAAAAUAAAAUAUAACAUAGUAAAAAUAAAAUUAUUUACUAACUAGAACAGUAGGAAAACAAUAGCUAGCUAAAUAAACUAGAAAAACUUGAUUUCGACUAAAACUAAUUCUUUUUAAUUAAAUCUAAAAUACCCGAACAAGUUCCUACUGUUAGGCAAGGUCAAAACUAAGCAGUAGCAAAAAGAAUCACUUAAAAAUAAUAAUCCUAACUCAAUUUAUGGCAGAAAAACUAAUCUGACUAAAACUAAUAUGAAACUAUUUUUUAUAAACACAAACAUGGCCUAACCUAUUUUCUAUAGAAACUUUAGGAAAUGUGCAAACUAGGAAAAAAAGAAUCAACUAAAAAUAUUAAAUAACCUAGGAGAAACAGAUUUUACAAGAUUGGAACUUUUCUGUUUUUAAAACAGAACGUAAAUAACAGGAAAAAAAACUAACGGGCGCUAUUGGGCUCGGGUUGUUGCGAUCUGAAACUAAACAGUGCCCGGCCGUUAACUAACAUACGCAUACAGUGUAUAACUAAAAGAAACCGGUGAAACGGUUUAGAUCUAAACCUAAAAAACCCGUACACUGAAACCAAUCUAAAAAAACGAGUUACUAAACCGAUCUAAUCUACAUAACGGUUCGAUCUAAAAGAAGAAGAAAAUGAAAAGGAGAGGAGCCCUCGCUUACAGAGGGAAACGUCCGUGGCAGAGAAGAAGGGGCCGGUGGGCUGCGGGGCUCCGGUCGUCGGCGGCGUAGGCGAGGAUGUCCAGGCAAUGCGGAAGGUAAAGGGCGUCCGAUUUUCUGUGGAUGGUGAGGCGAGGGGACGUCAUGGUCGGAUACUCACCGAUGGCGAGUUUCGAUGGUGAACAGGUGGCGGCGGAGCGAGAUCGGUUCGGCGUGGGCGUGGGUUGUAGUGCGUUUGAGCAAGGGUUUUCGAAGGGGAUCGCGAGAGGACGGGUAGGGGUACUGAUAGGACGUGUUACUUGGGCGAGGGGAAGAAUUUUAGCUAGGGUUUGGCAAGGGCGCGGACGCAGCCGUGCGCGAGGUGACGAGCGAGAUACGCGGUACAGGUUGUUCGGGAGGAAGGAGAUAACGCGGUGGGGGUUCAGUGGUCAGAGGAAAAAAAAGAAAAAGAAAGAUAAAAAAAAGAAAGAGAGAGAGAGAGUUACGUGAGGGAGAGGAAGUUACGUGAGAUCUCCCUCGCGAGCGUGGGGAGCGGCGCUGGUGGUGUCCUGCACGAGCGGCUGGACUAGCGCCUGGCUAGUGGGCUGCGGCCCGGGUGGCUAGGCUUGCUGGCCUGGCGCCCGACUUUUCCUUUUUUUUGAAUUAGACAGAGGGAGGAAUAAAAAUAUAGAAGAAUAUAUAUAUAUAUAUAUAUAUAUAUAGGACGAAUUUUUCCUACUACCGGGUGUAGUUACUCCCAUUUUUGUUUCAUGCGUUUUAGAUAGUAUCUAUCAUAUCGGAGAGUAUGUACGCGUAGUAUGUAGUAUAUAUGAAUGUAUAGGUAGUAUAUAUACUACUUUUUUGGUAGUAUGUAUCAUAUUUUGUGCAUACUCCAUUUCACAUAACAAUAUGUAUGUAUUUCACAAAAACAAUAAAACUAUGGGCUCACUUGCAAUUUUUUCAUCGAACUCACUUUGGAGUAUCUUAGAUAUAGUAUGUGAACAUACUAAAAAUAAUAAUGUAGAGUAUAUACUACCACAUAGUAGUAUAUGAGAAAUGGGUGUAACUACACCCGGUAGUAGGAUGCAUUUGCCCUAUAUAUAUAUAUAUAUAUAUAUAUAUAUAUAUAUAUAUAUAUAUAUAUAUAUAUUAGGACAUAUAUAUAUAUAUCAAAAUUCUCAGGGGAAUUUAUCCUACAACAUGGACAUUUUUCCAGGGGUAAAACUCAAACUAAAAAAACACUUUCUGGAAAUCCCAAAUAAAAUUCAAAUUUGAAUUCAAACUUUUUGGCAAUAUUUUUCUUCUGACAUUUUUGGAGUGUCAUGUUUACUCCUCUCCUACUUUUGCUCAAGUAUUUGUCAGGCAUGGUUUUGAAAUAAAUUCAACUGCCAAUUUGAAUCCAAAUUCAAACAAUUCAAAAGCCUCUAAAAAAAUUCAAAUGCCACUCAAUUUCAAACAAUAUGCAUAGAUGCUCAUCUAUAAUUGUAAAACAUUCCAAAUGGGAUAUUUGGGAUGUUACAUUUCGAGUUUGAUGGGGUUGUCUCGAGAUUGAGAUUUUUUCUCAAUGGAUCAUGGAAGUUUAUGAUGGAAUAAGUUGGGACACCCCUGCAGUGUUUAAUCUUUUCAAGAGUCAUGUCCGCGGUUAUGGGCGACUUGGAAAUGUAUAAUAUCCGGUUGUAGAGAACUCGACACUAAACCCGAACUAAAGUACACCAACCGCGUGUGUAACCGUGACCGUCUCUUUUCGAGGGAUUUUUGGAAGAGAACACGAUGGGAUUAUGUUUGUCUCAUAAAUAGUUUAGGAUCACUUCUUGAUCAUUACUAGUUUGUGACCGUUAUGCGCAGUUUACUCUUCUUACUCUUGUACUCGUAAGUUAGCCACCAUACAAAUGGUUAGUGCUUGCUGCAACCUUACCACUUAACCAUUCCAUACCCAUUAAGCUUUCCUAGUCUUGAUACCCAUGGUAAUGGAAUUGCUGAGUCCUCCUGGCUCACAGAUUACUACAACAACAAUUGCAUGUAUAGGUAAAGCAAUGCUCUGACAUGAGAGCGAUGCUUGCUUGUUUUGGAGUACUUCUGGUUCUUCUUCCUUGAUCAAGGGAUAGGUUCCGGGUCAGGAGCCUGGGAUUAGCAGGGUGGAUGUCGUUCUUCUUUUUUGUUUGAUUUCAUCCGUAGUCGGAUCCUGCUCUUCUGUAUGAUGAUUGCUAUGUAUUGAUGUAUUGUAUUCAUGUUGUAGCUUGUGGUGAGUGUAAGCCUUUAUCUGACAUUCUCAUCUAUUCAAUACAUGGUAUGUUGUAAUGAUAUCCACCUUGCUAGCCGCUCGAAAUGCGGUUGUGCCCCAAUCAUGAAUUCAUCACGUGAUUGGGAUAGAAUCGCAUCUUGGGCGCUACAGUAUUGGGCAUUAAGAUCUAUAGAGAUAGAUCAAGGUGGUUGCCUAGCUUAAGCUAGAGCACGUACAUAGACAAAGUGUUGAAGCGGUUCAACAUGAGUGAGGCCAAGAAAGGGUUUUUGUCACUCUCACAUGGUAUAAGGCUAAGCGAGACUCAGAGUCCUUCGACAUUUAAUGAGCGAAACAUGAUUAGUUGGAUUCUGUAUGCCCCGGCGAUCAGACCCAUCAUGUAUGCCAUGAUAUGUACUCAUCCUGAUGUUGCAUUUGCAAUAAGCUUAACAAGAAGAUACCAGGCCAACCCCGGUGAGAGUCACAGGGCGGUGGUGAAGAAUAUCCUAAAGUACCUGAAAAGGACUAGGGAAACGUUUCUAGUUUAUGGAGGUGAGGACAAGCUCUGCGUAAAUGGUUACGCCGAUGCUAGUCUCCAAACAGACAAAGAUGUUUGUCGAUCACAGUCCGGAUUCGUGUAUGUCAUGAACGGAGGAGCACUGAGCUAGACGAGUUCCAAGCAGGAUACGGUGGCCGAUUCUACCACAGAAGCUGAAUACAUUGCGGCUUGUGAAGCUGCAAAGGAAGGUGUUUGGACCAAGAACUUUCUGGAUGAUCUUGGUAUUUUCCCAGCCUUGGUAAAAUCAUUGGACCUUUAUUUUGAUAAUUCUGGUGCCAUUGCACAAGUCAAGGAGCCGAGGAACCACCACAAGACCAGACACAUAGAUCGAAAAUAUCACCUGAUAUGAAAGAUCGUAAAAUGUGGUGAUAUAGAGUUGUGCAAAAUUCACACAGAUGCAAAUGUUACAGAUCCAUUGACUAAGCCGCUUCCACAACCCAAGCAUGAGGGGCACGCUAGAGCUAUGGGCAUACGAUGUCUAUUUGAUUGACUCUAGUGCAAGUGGGAGACUAUUGGAGAUAUGCCUAGAGGCAAUCAUGUAUGAUGAUAUUUCCUAUGUGUUUAUGAAUAAAGAUAGUCCUUGGACAUUAUCAACGAUGUGCAUCAGCAAGUACGUGACUUGUUUGUGAGACUAUGCAUUGUAUGAUGAGUGUCCUAAAUGGUCCCUGUUGUUAUGUGAACGCGCAGCCCGACUAGACUAGCAUAUGACACAGUGGAUGGCUCAGUCUCACUAGCCAUGAAGCAUUGGAUGCUAGCCGGAUAGUAUGGACUCGGAAGGAUCUGGUCGGAUCUGACAUAGUCAGAUUCGAGUCCAGAUAAGGUCCAAGUCGGACAUAUUUGACUACUAGAUGUAGCGAUAUGUCAUCUAUGAGUCUCUAGUACAACAUAUGUUUUGUGUCCUAAGCCAUAACUGGGUAGUUAUAAAGGUAGGCUUUAUGCUUAUUCUGACCCAUGCCGGGAGACAUGGUCGAGCAUGUUGGGUUCUACUGUAGGGUGUGUUGACUGCAAAUUAAUUUUUUACUACACGCAAAACAACCAGGAACAUGCUACGGCAAUGGAUCACAGAUCGUUACCACUAGACGCGCAGUGUCGUGCAGCGGAAGAAGAGUUGGGGCAGCGUGUUCGCGUGGAUCAUCUCCUCCUCGUCCGAUAUCCCUCGAACAGUCGGUCAUCAGAUACCACGUACAGGUUCACCAGAGCGGUGCAAGUGCACCGCCUCUAAUGGUAUCCGCUCGUGCAGGAGGAACACUGCGCGGCGGACUGCUAGGUCCGAUCACAUAGUCGGCGACGAGUGGAGGUGGCUAUUCGCAACACAUGCAAGACCUAGUGACGACGCCGAAGCGAUCAACAAAUGAGUGUGCAGCACCCCCACUUUAUAUAGGCGUCCAUUACGGGCUCAACACUUGGGCCUCGCAUGGACCCUAAAGCCCAAAAUCUGUUCGGCCAGGAUCCGAGUCGGAGUAGGAUCACAUCUAACUCGUGGAGUUAGAUCGGGCCUCACAGGUUCCUUCCCUUAAACACGCGACCCCUUAGGUUCAAGUCGGCUUGGUCGCAGGUCGGAUCACCUCUGACCUGCUCGGCUGGUAGCGGCCUUUAGCAAGGCGUGCCGACCAGCAAGUAAACAAUGAAGCUGGUUGGAGAACCUGUAUAACAUGUCACACUUCUGUUCCCUUUGCCACAUGAUAUAUGUUGUCGGGCUCAAUGCGACUUUGUCAUCCUUUUGCUAGCCCAACCUCUUUUCCUGUUCCAGUGAUGCCGACCACUAGCCGAAUUAUCUCAUAAUCCCUGUCGCAUGGCCAUGCUUAUCUUGGUCGGAUCACACGAGGAGCCUAGAGUAUAUCUCUCCUGAUCGGAAGGGCAAAUCUCAUCUUGCUCGACCAUGUCUCGCAACAUGGGCCUGGACAAGCCCGAAACCUACCUUUGUAACUACCCAGUCACAGAGUAGCGUUUGGUUGGCCCAAAGCAAGUCUGCCACCAUCUCGAGUACAUGCGCCAGCUCAGGUCUUAGGACAUAGAACGUAUGUUGUUCCAGAGACUCACAUAUGACAUAUCGCUGUGUCUCAUAGUUGGGUCUGUCCGACUUGGACCUUAUCUCAACUCGGAUCCGACUACAUCGAAUACGACUAGAUCCUUCCGAGUCCAUAUUAUUCGGUUAGCAUCCAAUGCUCCAUGGCUAGUGAGACCAAGCCAUUGACCGUGUCAUAUGCUAGUCUAGUCGGCUGCACGUCCACACGACCCUUUCGACUAGGGACCUUUUAGGAUAGUCAUCAUACAAUGCAUAGUCCCACAAACAAGUCACGUACUUGUUGAUACACAUCAUUGAUAAUGUCCAAUGACUAUAUUUAUUCACAAACACAUAGCAAAUAUCAUCAUACAUGAUUGUCUCUAGGGCAUAUCUCCAACAGAGCAAGAUGAGAUUUGCCCCUCCGAUCAGGAGAGAUAUACUCUGGGCCCCUAGUGUGAUCCGACCAAGAUAAACAUGGCCAUGCAACAAGGAUAUGAGAUAAUUUGUUUUAUGGUCAGCAUCACUGGAAUGAGAAAGAGGUCGGGCUAGCACAAGGAUGACAGACCCGCCUUGAGCCUGACAACAUAUAUCGUGUGGCAAAGGGAACAUAAGCGUGACAUGUUGUACAGGUUCGCCAACCGGCUUCAUUAUCUACUUGGUGGUCGACACGCCUUGCUAGAGGCCACAUACCAACCGAGUAGGUCAGAGGUGAUCCGACCUACGACCAAGACGACUUGAACCUAAUGGGUCGCAAGCUUAAGAGGGAAGGAACCCGUGAGGCCGGAACCAACUCCACGAGUCAGAUGUGAUCCUACUCGGACUCGGAUCCAGGCCAAACAAACUUUAGGCUUUAGGAUCCAUGCGAGGCCCAAGUGUUGAGCCCGCGACAGAUGCCUAUAUAUAGUGGAGGAGCGACACACUCAUUCAGUUGAUCGUUUCAGCACCGUCAUUAGGGCUUUACAUGUAUUGCAAUUAGCCACCUCUAGUUGACGCCGGUUGUAUGAUCAGAUCUAAGUAGUCCGCCACACGAUGUUCCUUCUGCACUGCUCCGGCAAACCAAUUCGUGGGAUCUGAUCGGCUAUGUGGGAGAUCGACGAGGAGGAGACGACUCCGGAGACGCGCUACCUCAAUUCUACUUCUGUUGCACGACACUGCAUGUUUAGUGGUGAUGAUCCGUGAUCCAUCGCCCGUAGCAUGUUCCUGGUUGAUCUGCGCAUAGGGAAAAAAAUUAAAUUGCAGCCAAUGCACCUAGCGUAGAACACAACACCUCAAGCUGCCAAAUCUUGUUCCAAAUUGGAUUGUUAACUGAUGGAUGGGACCAGUUCGAUUGCCUCUAAAUUUAUGUGCCCAUUCUGCAUGGAAUGCAGUUUUCACCAAAAAAGUACCAAUUCAAGUGUGAUGCCAAGCAUUAAAAUCUUCAAAGACCUCAUAAUUCAAUGGAAUUAGAGAAUCCUCCUAGUAUCCGCUGGACUGAAUAUAGCUCUAAUCAGUUCUUCAUACCAUUCUCCAUUUGUCAAAUCAAUUAGGUCCAGUACCUUGGAGAUUAAAAUUUGACCCCAAGGAGUUAUUAUAUGACGGUCUGGACUAGAUGGAAUCCACGGACCAGUCCAAAUAUCAACCUUGCUAUCAUCACCAAUGCGCCAAAUAUGGCCCCUUUUAAAAGUUUGCAGCCCCACUACCAAACUUUGCCAAGUAAAAGAGGAUCCAUUUUUUGGGGCCAACCAAUAAUAAAUUGCCAUCCAGAUAGUACUUAGCAUGCAACACCUUAGCACAUAGAGAAUCUGGACUAGUUAUGAAUCUCCAACACUGCUUUGCUAGCAUGGCCAAAUAAAAGGAGUGAAGGUCUCGAAACCCCAUCCCUCCCAUCUUCUUUGGAGUACAUAGCUUCCACCAUGCAUAGCAGUGCAUAAUUUUCUUAUCUCCAUCCCCUCCCACCAAAAUUGUGCUAUAAGAUCCGUUAUGCCCUUACAGACCCCCUUAGGGAUAUUAAACACUGACAUGGCAAACACGGGAAUAGAUUGAGCAACUACUUUCAACAACAAUUCUUUACCUCCCAUUGAUAAAAAGAUUGGCCAUCCAAACACAAAUUAUGUUUCUGAUUCUCUGAACAAAAAGCUUGAAGCAAUCACUCCUAUCUGCUCCUACCAGAGCCGGUAGGCCUAAAUAUUUAUCUGAGAGUGCUUCAAUGUCAAUAUGUAAUUCUUGAUAAAUUUUUGCCCUCGCCACCACACUGGUAUUAAGGCUAAAGAAUAUGCUUGAUUUUGAUCUACUCACCAGUUGGCCAGAGUUAGUGCAAUAAUCAUCUAGUGCUCGCUGUAAGGAAGCUGCAUUUAACAUAUCCGUAGUCAUGAGGAUUAGGGAAUCAUCAGCAAAUAGAAGGUGCGAGACUGGUAGUGCAUUUCUACACACCAUGAGUGUAUGUGCGUGUAUAUGAGCGUUGACGUCUGUACUGUGUUCAAAAACUCCAUCAAUGCCACCAGCUUCUUCUUCAAACUGUAGUAUACUAGAUAAACCUUCUAUGCACAAGAGAAAUAAGUAUGGGGAUAAAGGGUCUCCUUGUCGAAGGCCUCUUGUUAGUGUGACUCCUUCUAUCUCUUGGGAAUUAUACCGGUUGUGUAUUUUACUAAAGAAACACAAUUCAUAACUAAAUUCACCCACUGGUCAUCAAAACCCAAUUUCAACAUCAUAUUCCUCAAAAAGACCCAUUCAACUUUGUCAUAUACUUUAUGCAUGUCCAACUUGACGCCACAGAGCCCUGGUUGCCCGUUUCUCUUGUUCUUGAUUUUGUGGGCACACUCAUAAGCUACCAAUAUAUUAUCUGUUAUUAAUCUACCAGGCACAAAAGUACUCUGUGUUUUCGAAACGAUCUCAGGCGAAAUGGUCUUCAGUCGAUUAGCAAGCAUCUUAGAGAUGAUCUUGUAGAUAACAUUACAAAGGCUUAGGACAAAAUUGAGUAAUCGAUCCAGGAGAGUCAACUUUAGGUAUCAAAACCACCACAAUAUUAUUCCACCCCUCCGGGAUCAUACCUGAGUCGAGUGCGUGAAGAACUUCAUGAGUUAUCGUCCCCGAAGACAUGCCAAUUUUUUUAUAGAAGAUGGCAUGUAGCCCAUCCGGCCCCGGGGCCUUAAGAUCACCAAUACUAUCAAUGGCAUUUUUAACCUCCACCGAUGAAUAAGGAUUAAGCAACAUCUCGUUCAUUUGGGCAGUAACCUUUUCUUUCACUUCUGCAAGGAAAUUAGGAUCUCUCUCAUCAUACACCUGAGGUGAAGAGAUUAUUGAAAUAAGAAUGCAUGAAAGGAUUAAUCGCACGUGUACCAUCCAGCCGUUGGCCCAUGUCAUUUUUAGACGGGAAAUUCUGUUACGUUUUCCACCACAGUAGUAUUAAGGCUAAAGAAUAUGCUUGAUUUUGAUCUACUCACCAGUUGGCCAGAGUUAGUGCAAUAAUCAUUUAGUGCUCGCUGUAAGGAAGCUGCAUUUAACAUAUCCAUAGUCAUGAGGAUUAGGGAAUCAUCAGCAAAUAGAAGGUGCGAGACUGGUAGUGCAUUUCUACACACCAUGAGUGUAUGUGCGUGUAUAUGAGCGUUGACGUCUGUACUGUGUUCAAAAACUCCAUCAAUGCCACCAGCUUCUUCUUCAAACUGUAGUAUACUAGAUAAACCUUCUAUGCACAAGAGAAAUAAGUAUGGGGAUAAAGGGUCUCCUUGUCGAAGGCCUCUUGUUGGUGUGACUCCUUCUAUCUCUUGGGAAUUAUACCGAUUGUGUAUUUUACUAAAGAAACACAAUUCAUAACUAAAUUCACCCACUGGUCAUCAAAACCCAAUUUCAACAUCAUAUUCCUCAAAAAGACCCAUUCAACUUUGUCAUAUGCUUUAUGCAUGUCCAACUUGACGCCACAGAGCCCUGGUUGCCCGUUUCUCUUGUUCUUGAUUUUGUGGGCACACUCAUAAGCUACCAAUAUAUUAUCUGUUAUUAAUCUACCAGGCACAAAAGUACUCUGUGUUUUCGAAACGAUCUCAGGCAAAAUGGUCUUCAGUCGAUUAGCAAGCAUCUUAGAGAUGAUCUUGUAGAUAACAUUACAAAGGCUUAGGACAAAAUUGAGUAAUCGAUCCAGGAGAGUCAACUUUAGGUAUCAAAACCACCACAAUAUUAUUCCACCCCUCCGGGAUCAUACCUGAGUCGAGUGCGUGAAGAACUUCAUGAGUUAUCGUCCCCGAAGACAUGCCAAUUUUUUUAUAGAAGAUGGCAUGUAGCCCAUCCGGCCCGGGGCCUUAAGAUCACCAAUACUAUCAAUGGCAUUUUUAACCUCCACCGAUGAAUAGGGAUUAAGCAACAUCUCAUUCAUUUGGGCAGUAACCUUUUCUUUCACUUCUGCAAGGAAAUUAGGAUCUCUCUCAUCAUACACCUGAGGUGAAGAGAUUAUUGAAAUAAGAAUGCAUGAAAGGAUUAAUUGCACGUGUACCAUCCAGCCGUUGGCCCAUGUCAUUUUUAGACGGGAAAUUCUGUUACGUUUUCUUCUUGCGGAUGCAAAACUAUAAAAAAAAAUCCCGUGUUGCGAUCCCCAAACUUCAACCAACUCACCCUUGAUCUUCGUAUAAAGGAAGUGUGGUACAUCCAUCGUAGAGCAUUGGAUGCACAACAAUUUUGAAGGGGGCACCUCUGUUCCAAGUAACGCCUCCACGUCAGCGAAACACAUAGGGUGGAUUGAAAAGAAAUACAUAGGGUAGGCCAAAACGGCUGGCACGACACGGCCCGACCCGACCUUGGUUAAACGGGCCAAGCCCAGCCUGGCCCGGCCAGGCAUAAAUACACGGGUCGUGCCGGGCCGGCACGCGUGCUGCCCUUCCUGGCCCAUGCACUACCCCCUCACUACACGGGCCGACAGGAUGACCCGUUUGGCACGCCAUCACGGGGGUUCGAGUAUAGAUCGAAGCACGUUUUUCUUAAAAAAAUUAGAUCAAGGCACCCUAGUACGCUACAUCUCGUGCGCACUUGCCUCGAAAAAGAAACGUCUGAUACGCUCAUGUACAAGGCACAUCGAGGCACGUCUGUCUCGUGCGCUCGCCAGGAGGCACAUCGCUCUCGUUUUGUGGGCCACACCUUCUAAUCCCUUCCGCACGUUUCGAGCGAAACGCUCCUCGCUAGUCGCCAAGCUAGCUAGUCGCGAGAGUCCACACGACUAGGCGUGCCGUGCCGGGUCGGCACGCGUGCCUGCCUAGGCAGCCCAGGCACGGCCCUAGCCGGGCCACAUGCCAGGCACGCCCUGUUAAGCUACGUGCCGGCCCGGCCCAUGACGGGCCGAGCACGCGGGCUAUUGUGCCGGCACGCCUAGGCUGGCCCAUUUGGCCAGGUUUGGGGUAGAUGAACGCAUAAUUUAGUUUGAGGACCUUCAUUUGUUUUGUUUUCGAGGGGAAGACCUUCAGGCUGGACGCUUUGCCGCUUUGGAAGUUUGAUGAGGACGGAAGUGAAUUGUCCCAACAAGUUUUGAGGGGUAUCGAUCGUGCUAGGGAUUUGAGUGGAAGAUUUGAUCAUCGCGUUCCAGGAGAGCAGAGCGGGCUGAGCGAUUCGGAUCGCUCUCCACCUUCCGGGGCCGUCCCCCUUCUCCCCCCCGAUCCCCAAUCCAAUGGUGCUAGUCCUAGCGCUGGGGGAUCUGCACAUCCCGCACCGUGCGCCCGACCUGCCCGCCAAGUUCAAGUCCAUGCUCGUCCCGGGCAAGAUCCAGCACAUCAUCUGCACCGGGAACCUCUGCAUCAAGGUCAGUCUCCUUUUAUCCCUGUGAUACAUGCUUGAUGCCGCGUGCGCGUGAUUGCUGCUGGAUCGCCGUGUCUCUGGUCUGUCAAAUCUGGUUGACCGACUAGUUCGUGAAUGUCACACCCUGAUUUGAGAAUUCGUGGUGGAUUCGAUCUAAAUCGCAAGAACAGGAGGGGAAAGUAGGCGCCCGCUAGGGUUGUUGUAUUACUAUGAGAUAUAUGUUUGAUUUAUAAAAUGGUCUCAGCAAUAAUCGAUGCAUUACAAGAUGUUGGGAGCGAGCUUUAUAACCCAGCUGGCACAGGGUGACGGCUACAGUGGCGUGGAUGAAACGCUACAGGAAUACAGCCGAAAUGGUAGUGAGACGGUGAGCAUCGCGAGCCGUCGGAUCGUCAGGACAAGGAUGAAUCUGGGCCGGACGUUAACUGAAGAAGGGGUGCAUCUAUUAACUGCAGAUGCAGGCCUGACAAUGCUCCCGCGCGAAACCGAACUUGUCCUCAAGGAGGUGAUCUGUUGAACCAGCGAUCAAUGGUCGCUUUGAAGAACGCUGGAAAUGUCUUUUUCAUGAAUGUGGCGUCCUCCCAGGAAGCUUCAUCGGGUGGCAAGUUUGCCCAUUGCACGAGCCACUGGACCACCGGCAGGUUGUUGCGUGGUACCUGGCGAGUCUCCAGAACCAAGACUGGUUCAGUCAGUAUCAUGCCGUCUGCGCGAACCAGAGGAAGAUCGACGCACGGAACAGCCGAGGGCCCGACAUGCUUCUUCAGCUGGCUGACGUGAAACACCGGAUGGAUGUUGGUGCCAUCAGGUAAGAGGAGUUUGUAGGCCACUCGCCCCACUUUAGCUGUGACACGGAAGGGCCCGUAGUACUUGCUCUGUAACUUGAUGUGAGAGCGCGCGCGGAACGCAUUCAGGCGAUAUGGUUGCAUCUUGAGAUACACCAUGCCCCCCACUUCCAAAACUCUUUCAGUUCUUUUACGAUCUGCGUACUUCUUCAUGCGUGCUUGAGCUGCAGUUAAGUUGGUUUUCAGGUGUUGGAGUAGUGCAUCUCGAUCAGUGAAAAACUGUUGAGCUUCGGUUGUCAGGUUAUCUGGUAGAAUGUUCUCGCAGAUAUUGGGAGGUGGGUAUCCAUAGGCUGCUUCGAACGGAGUUUUCUGAAGGGAAGAAUGGUACGAGGUGUUGUACCAGUAUUCUGCCAUGGAUAGGUGCUGGGCCCACUUCUUGGGUUGUGUUGAUGUCAGGCAUCGCAGGUAGUUCUCAAUGCACUGAUUUACGCGUUCUGUUUGGCCAUCUGACUGUGGGUGGUAUGCAGAACUGUAACGCAGUUCGGUGCCCAUGCCGGCAUGCCCUUGAACAUAUCUUGCCAAACUUGACUGAUGAAUAUGCAGUCUCGGUCAGAGACAAUGGACAGUGGAGGGCCAUGUAGUUUCAGUACAUUGUCAAUGAAUGCAGUGGCCACCGUGUGAGCAGUAUAGGGGUGAGACAGUGGGAUAAAGUGGGAAAACUUGGACAGUCUGUCAACUACCACAAAUAUGACAUCCUUGCCUUGAGAUUUAGGCAGGCCCUCGAUGAAAUCCAUAUUGAUGUGUGUCCAAACCAUAUCAGGGAGUGGAAGUGGAUCCAAAUAUCCAGGGUAAGGGCAAUUCUCUCCCUUGUUCUUCUGACAGACAGGGCAUUCAGAAACAAACUUGUCCACAUCUUGUUUCAGACCUUGCCAGUAAAAGAUUUGCUUGAUUCUGUGAUAUGUGGCUUUCAUGCCUGAGUGGCCUCCCAAAGCAGAGGCAUGAAGUGCAGCCAGAAGUUUCUUUCUCAAAGAUAAAUCCUUGCCCACAUAAAUUCUUCCUUUGUGUCUAAUAAUGCCAGAGUGCAGAGUGUUUUGGUUUAUUGAGUGGUCAGGGGACAGCAGGAGCUUUUCAAGGAGAGAUUUGCAAGUGCUGUCAUUGGCAUAGGAAUCUUCUACUGCAGAGAUCCACUGUGGAGUUACCAGGGAAAUAGCCAUAAGUGAAUGUUUCCUAGAUAGGGCAUCAGCCACAAUGUUUUCCUUGCCCUUUUUGUACUGCAGAGUGAAAGUAAACUCAAGGAGCUUCAACAUCAGUUUAUGUUGUAUGCUGGUGUUGACCUUCUGAUCUGUCAUGAAUUGCAGGCUCUGAUGGUCUGUUUCUAUGAUGAGUUCAUUGCCCAGGAAGUAGUGCCUCCAUUUCUUUAAGGCAGCCAGGAUUGCUAAUGCUUCUUUCUCAUAAGUGGACAGGGCAGCAUUCUUUGGGCAGAGGGAGGAGCUGUAAUAUGCAAUUGGUUUUCCUUGCUGCAUCAUUACUGCUCCAAUCCCAGUUCCAGAAGCAUCUGUCUCUAGCACAAAUGGCUCAGUAAAAUUUGGGAGGGCCAGCACUGGUGCAUUGGUCAUGGCCUGUUUCAACUGUUGGAAGGCACUAGUCUGUUUGUCAGUCCAGGAAAAGCUGUCUUUCUUGAGGAUAUCAUGCAAAGGCCUGGCUAUUGUUCCAAAAUGCUGGACAAAUCUUCUAUAGUAUCCACAUAGGCCCAAAAAUCCUCUGAGUUGUUUUGGUGUGGUGGGAAUGGGCCACUCCACCACUGCUGCCACUUUAGAGGGAUCAGUAGAAACUCCUUUAGCAGAAAUAACAUGGCCCAAGUAGUCUACUUGUGUAACUGCAAAAGCACACUUGGAGAGUUUGGCAUAUAGUUGAUGUUCUUUGAGUAGUUGUAACACUAUCUGGAGGUGUUCAAUGUGUUCUGACAGUGAUUUACUGAAUAUCAAAAUGUCAUCAAAGAAAACCAGUACAAACUUUCUCAGGUAUGGGCCAAAGAUAUUGUUCAUGAGGGCUUGGAAUGUAUCGGGUGCAUUAGCCAGCCCAAAUGGCAUAACUAGGAACUCAUAGUGCCCAAAAUAUGUUCUGAAUGCAGUCUUAGGUAUAUCCUUUUCAUCCAUUCUCACUUGAUGGUAACCAGACCUGAGAUCCUACUUAGUGAAGUAAGUUGCUCCAUGUAAUUCAUCCAGUAAGUCUUCAAUUACAGGGAUGGGAAACUUGUUUUUCACUGUGGCCUCAUUGAGCUUCCUAUAGUCAAUGCACAUCCUCCAAGUGCCAUCUUUUUUCAUGACUAAGAUUGCUGGAGAGGAGUAGGGACUUUCACUAGCCCUGAUUAUUUUAUCUCUGAGCAUUGCAUCAAUUUGCCUUUCCAACUCAUUCUUCUGCAUGUGAGGUACUCUAUAGGGCCUAGAAUUUGGAGGUUUUGCCUUUUCUUUCAGUGGUAUCUUGUGAUCAUGAGAUCUUUUGGGGGGCAGGCCUUUGGGUUCUUGAAAAACUUCAGGGAAUUUCUGCAGAACUUCUUCUACAUGUUGUGGAACUGAUUGUUUCUCUGGUUUGGUCAUAGUAGUGUCCCUGAUAAGUUGCAACACAUAACUUGGAGCUCCUGAAGACAGUAACUUGUCCACUUCUGCAGCUUCAAUUAUAGUGGCGUCAGACAGAGUGUCACAAGCUCUGAUUGUAACAGGAGUGCUCUUGUUCUGCAUAAUUGUGAUCUAUCUGGGGUUGUAGUGAAAAGCCACCGGGCUGUGUUGUGCCAUCCAGUCACUGCCUAACACCAUAUCAUGUCCAGGUAGAUCCAACACUCUGAACUGCUGAAUGAACUUGGUGUGGCCUGCAGUGAAAGUGGUUGAGGGUAUAUAGGAACUAGACCACAAUGUUCCCCCACCAGCAACUGUAACAGCAUGGUUAGUGUCCUUGAGUAUGUUGGAAGAGGUUGUCAGAGCAAAUUUCAGGCUUAUAAAAGUGGAGUUACUGCCUGAGUCCACUAGAGCAAUGCCCUGUUUGCCCCCUAUUUGCACCAGAAUAGAAAUGGUGUUCACAUUAUCUGACUGCAUGGCUUCAGCAGAGAUGGUCAUACAGUGUUCUUCAGUCUGGGGCUGUUCUGUUUCAUCCUGUUCCUCCAACUCAUCUGGUUCCUUCUGUUGUUUAGUAGGCUCCUCACCUGUUAAAACAUUCAGUGCAGGAGCAAGUUUGCACUUAUGUCCAUGGAACCAAGCAUCCCCACACCUCCAGCACUUGCCAGGUUCUCUGGCUCUUUGGUUCACUAUAGUUGGUUUGGGAUCUGCAGCUUUUUCUGUUGCUAGGCUAUAGGUUUUGUGAAAACCAGGAUAGCCUUUACUGGCGCUAGUGUGGGCUUGAAGUGCUUUCUUUUCUGCUGUGCCUUUCUCCAUAUCCACUGCCAACCAAUAGGCUUCUGUGAGGUUGGUAGGUCUCAGUGAUCUGAGCUGAAACUUGAUCUGUGAACGGAGCCAUUGACAUAGCAUUUGACAAACCACUGUUCGUCCAUUAUUGGAUUGUCAGUUUGAAUUUCUGCCAUCAGUUCCUCAAACUGGUCAGUGUAGUCAGACACUGACGAAGUGCUUUGCUUCAGGAUUUCCCAUGCUCGGCCAUCUUCUUUGAGGGGCUUCCGAAGAUGGAAGUGUCGCCCUCGCUUGUAGGUGGUCGCCUUGUUGUUGAAGAUGUUGAUGUAGGCGAACUCAUGGGAAGUAGGCGAAGAUGCCGUAUGUCCGAAGGCGAAGAUGCCUUGCUAACACUGGCGAAGAUGCCGAAGUGGUCGUGGUAGCCGUAGCUUCCUCUUGGUGGUGCUUGUCUCGCGGUCUUCUUUUGUGCUCUUGAAGCGUGGCCUUGGCGUGAAGUAGAGCUUGUUGGGACUUGUACAUUUGCGCUUGGUGAGCAUCUUCAUGAUGAUGUUGUCGUUGUCGUACUUGAGCUCGUAGUAGAUGUCGUUCGUCGUCGUCGUGCACAUGUUGCUUGGAGGUGACUUGCCCUUCAUGAUGAUGUUGAUCACGAUUGUGACGAUGAUCAUCACGAAGAUAUGGACGUGGACGAAUUGCGCUUGCAUCGUUUUCGCGCUCCGAAGACUUGUGGCUUGGCCUUGAAGAUGACGAAGGGGAAGAAGACUUGAUCAAGGCCCUAAUCUCCUCCAUCCUUGCAUCUUGCUCCUCUUUUUGUGCGGAAAGCUUCUUGUCGAUGUAGUCCCUUUUCCUUGCUUCGGAGUGACGAAUGUCGAUGGAGAGGUUCUCGAUGCGCUCUCGCAAGGUAGAAUGUGCGCCUUGCAUUUGUUGUUGUAGACCGAAGAUGGACGCUUUGGUGAUGUAGUUGUUCGCACUGUCAUUGUUGUCGAAGAUCGGAGAUGAAAUGCCUUUCCUAUCCAUUACAAGACUCGAGCAAAUAUGAGUGGAAGAUAGGAGAGAACUGUACCAAAUGUACCUUAAUCGAUGUUGAGAAUGGAUCAAUGAUCACUCAGUGAUGUAACAAGGAAAUAACACAAUUGGUACCGAUCUCGUCAAUUUCUCACACCUACACAAAUAAGGCUUAUGGUGCAGCUCGGUGAGGAUAGUGGCACAAAAAUUUGAUGCAAACUGUUAGUAAGAGUCAAUAAAGUUGAAAGAGAUUCACAAAUUCGCAAGUGAAACAAGUAGACCAAUAGCAAUGAAUGACACGGAAACACACACACUGAUAGAUAAAUGGAGUCGUGCAACCAAGGAAUGAGCACAAAAUGUGGAAUCCACGGAAAACGCUCGUGUUGCACAACUCAAGAGAGACGCUAGCACGAUUGCUCAAUAGGCGGAUACGACACUUGUGCACAACCUAUAAGAUGCAAAAUGUAUGGACUUUUAUCCCAAGUAUGCUAUGUAUGUAUGAUUCCCGGUGUUCCUCUCAAGAUGAUCGGAUAUGACAAUCUUAUAUGCAAUGUGGUGUGAUGCUAUGUCUAUUGCUUACAAGCUCUUUGUUUUUCUCUUUGCUUAAAAGCUUAUUCUCUUUUUUUGGCCACUUUUGCACAAUGCACAAACCACCGCGAGCCCGGAGAUGCUCAACCACCGCGAGCCCGAACCAGCCGGCCACCAACCGCCACCAAACCUGCACCGCAGAGCACCGAAGGGAAUCUCCCGCCAGCGCCCGCGCCCGUCCCAGCUGAGGCCGUCCCGCGCGACCCCCCGGCCAGCAGCAGCCGUGCUGCCGGGUCCUGGGCGCACACCGCCGUCUCCAUCGACCAGCCGAUCCCGCCAGAGGAAGGAGGAUCCACGCCUGAAUCUCGCCGAGCCGCACCACCUCCCGCCGCAGCAGAGACGCCAAACCACAGCAGCUCCGCCGCCGCCCACGCAGUCGACGGGAGCCACCGCCCGCCCGCGGCCGCGCCGCCCAGAGAUCGAAGAGGUCCGGGGCCGCUGCCCCGGCGUCCGAGCACCCGUGCCGCUGACCCCCGCAGCAGAAACCGGGGAAGCCAGAUCUGGCCGCAACCGGCUCGAUCCAGCCGCCCCACGCAACGCCCUCCGCACCUGCAAGCCGAGCAUCACCCCCGCCGCCAGAGCAUCACCGGAGAUAGGCGAGGCAGCCGCGCAGUCCACCGCCAGGCACCACAGCGCCGAGCGCCACCCGCCGCCGCUCCCCCAGGACUGGACGCCGCGCGACGGGAGAAGGCCCCGCCGCCGCCACCCCCACACGGGCUUUGCCCGGCGGUGGCCACUGGCGGCGGCGAGGGAGGAGGAGCAGGUGGGGGGAGUGGGAGGCGGCGGGGAUCGGGUCGCCGCCCGAGUCGCCAAGCUAGGCGAUGCGAAGCCCAAGUUAUGUUAUGUACUAUUCAAUGUUGAAUUUGUCAUUUUUAUUUUUUGAGUUAUGUUUCGAAUUUUGUGACUACCUGAAUUGAUGUUGUGUGAGUGCUAAUUUUUUUUCAGAAUUUUUGAACAUUUUAAGAGCACAAUAUGAGUUCGGUGCACCGGUAGCACACAAGCUCCGGUGCACCAGAUAUUUUCCCUAUGAUGCUCAACAUCGCGGACUAUUUGUCGCUUUUCAACUAUUUUGUAUGACUAGUAAGCAUGCACGUGCAACGCACGACUGAUCGACAUGUUAUUUUAUAUCUUAACUGAGCUUCUUGGCACCAGCGUUUUGAAGCAUGGAGCGACAUUUAGUUUCCCUAGCUGCAUCUGAUAUCAUGGAGGAUAGACACCACAAAAAUCGAACCAAGAAAAGCAAGAUAAAAAGAAGUCUUACAAGGAUACAAACCCAAACUUCACAAGAUAGCGAAGGCAGCCGGAGGUGAGGUGUAAGGUGGAUGCGCUUCUUCGGCCGCCUUCAAUAACCCAGUCGCACUCAUUUGCUAGAUACACUUAGCUGCACUGGAUGAUACAAAUACAUGGACUAAAGGGGCUAGUCCAAUUAAUCAGGACAAACCCAAGCAGAUAUUACCGGGUUAUAUCCAGACGCUGGGCAAUGAUGCUUAUUGUAGAUCUUCUAUAUGAUGAAAGCACAUGUUUGAAGAGACUAAGCCUUUUGUCCCAAACAAGUUGGGGUAGGCUAGAUAUGAAACCCUUUCACGAGGACUUCCCAGGAGGUCACCCAUCCUAGUACUACUCUCGCCCAAAUGGGUUUCAUACCCAAAGGACUGGCUAGUUUUUACGUUGGUCACCCAUCCUAGUACUACUCUCGCUCAAAUUGGUUUCAUACCCAUGGGACUGGCUAGUUUUUAUGUUGGCUCGCCAAGCCUAUCACAAUCCUCCUCCUUUACCCGGGCUUGGGACCGGCUAUGCCUAGAAGACAUGGGCGGAGUUAUGAAAUCACAUGUUUCCUCAAAAAAAAAAAAAGAAGAUGAAUGGACAACUUCCAUUUAUCAUAAUGGUUGUUCAGAUUAGCAACUCCAAAGCCUUUACAAAUCCUCAUAGUGCUCAGCUCCACUAAAAUAAGUUGAUGCAUGAGAAAUAACAUUGACUAUUUCUUUAUGGAAACAGCUAACCAACAAAAAAAAUGUUUUGAAGAUAACCAUGUUCACAACAUGAUGCUCCUUCCCUCCGAGAGCCGCUACCAAGAGCAAAUUAAUUUUUUAUACAAAGCUUGUUAAUGCCCCAUUAGACGCCAAUACUACAUCAGGUUGAGAACUGCUAUACCUUCUGUCUUCAACAAGUCAAAAACUUCUUGUUGCACAUACCCAACAGCAGUAGCAAUAAUCAACCCGCCAUACUUUCAACAAUCACACCCAACCCUCAACUUUGCUUGUUGGAUCAAAGGAGCCCUCAAUAUUUACCAGUAAAAUGAAGACGGUUUAAUAUCUCUAUAAGCUAGACAUUAAUCUAUAUUUUGGGGGAAACACGUUAUGUGCUCUUUAUCAUUUUACAAGUGUAAAAGUUACAUUUAAAGUGAACGCAGCCCCAAAUGAAAAGGAGAUGCACUUGGCACACCAGAAGAGUGGUGUGUGUUUCACCAGAAGCAUGAUCUGCACAGUUUGCACGCCAUGGCACAAACAAGUUAGACACAUAAAUCCAAGAUGUAACCCGCAAGCAAACAAUGAAUUCGUUAUCCAGUACAUAUAUCAAGAGACACUAUGUGCUAGGAAUUUCCUGUGGAAAAUGCGAAGACCGUCACUUCUACUUCAUUACAAAGCUAAUAUUUGUUCCAAGGAUAACAAUAACUGAAAUGCGAUAUCAGUACUGCAUGCCUACUAUUUGUGGUUGGUAGAAAAAAGCACAACUACAUACUCCAUUUAGGCUUCAUUGUUUCUCCUCUCCUCCAUGCUAUAUAAUAUGCAGUCGGAAGGCAGGAGCAAGAACUGCAAGAAAACUUGUACCUGACCUGGAAGAUAUUUGCCCGUUUGGUGAGAACUCAAUUUCCACUAAAUCCAAUUCUUCAAAAUCUUGCACUGAUGCCUCUUGAAAAAGGCUUGAUGAUGCAGCACGUACAAAGCAUGAUUUCUAAUAGGAUAAUGGAACGCAAGUACUGGAAUUGCAACAGCAUGCACGCCGCAAAGUAUUCAGGCAUUGCAGUGCAUAAAAGGAUAUUAAAUUGGAAAAUGCAAUUCAGAAUAGUACAUUAGUGUAACUUACUGCAUGAGAGAAAAAAACAACUUGGAUUUGUCAAAAGUACAGAGAAUGAAUAGGCAAGAGCAGUGGGGAAAGACUCACCUGUCUGCUCAUAGCUUAUGAUGGUAUGGACAUUAGUUAAAAUGACAAUCUAAAUAUUUUGAUAACUGUGAAAGAGGAGGUACACAAUACAUCAAGAUGCGGUGAACGAGCUGAUACCUGCGUUUCAAGAAACGGUAAUAGUCUUGGGCUGCUGCACCCUUUAUUGAUCGUCCCCAAAAGAACAAGAUAAUACAAAAUUCACAGUAGAGAUAUACGUUGGUCUCUGCCUAAGCAUGCUAGGCAUGAUGUAUGCAUCAUAUUUCAUAUAUGCAAGUGGAAAACAGUGGAAAACACCCACGUACAUCUUUAACAAAAAGAUGUUGCCUAGAUAGAAUGUUUUGCAUGGCAAAUCCAAUACGUAAACUGCAAGCAAACAAUGAAAUGAGUUUGGUAAUAAUAUCAAAUUUCUAUCCAGCCACCAAAAUGUACAAAGAAAAUCAAACGCUUAUGGCCAACUGUCAUCGUUCAACUGAGUCUCGUACUGCCUGGGCGCUCGCCUGGGAAAGAAGAUUAGCAACGAGAAAGGACCGAAGGUGCAGAUAUGUCACUGAUGACUUCCUGAUUAAGAUAGGACUACAUCAGGGGUCAGCUUUGAGCCCUUAUCUUUUUGCCUUGGUGAUGAAUGAGGUCACAAGGGAUAUACAAGGAGAUAUCCCAUGGUGUAUGCUCUUUGCGGAUGAUGUGGUGCUAGUUGAUGAUAGUCGGACGGGUGUAAAUAGGAAGUUAGAGUUAUGGAGACAAACCUUGGAAUCGAAAGGGUUUAGGCUUAGUAGAACUAAAACCGAGUACAUGAUGUGCGGUUUCAGUACUACUAGGUGUGAGGAGGAGGAGGUUAGCCUUGAUGGGCAUGUGGUACCUCAGAAGGACACCGUUUGAUAUUUUGGGUCAAUGCUGUAGGAGGAUGGGGGUAUUGAUGAAGAUGUGAACCAUCGAAUCAAAGUCGGAUGGAUGAAGUGGCGCCAAGCUUCUGGCAUUCUCUGUGACGAGAGUGCCACAAAAGCUAAAAGGCAAGUUCUACGGGACGGCUGUUCGACCUGCAAUGUUGUAUGGCGCUGAGUGUUGGCCGACUAAAAGGCGACAUGUUCAACAGUUAGGUGUGACGGAGAUGCGUAUGUUGAGAUGGAUGUGUGGCCACACGAGGAAGGAUAGAGUCCGGAAUGAUGAUAUACGAGAUAAAGUUGGGGUAGCACCAAUUGAAGAGAAGCUUGUCCAACAUCGUCUGAGAUGGUUUGGGCAUAUUCAACGCAGGCCUUCAGAAGCUCCAGUGCAUAGCGGACGGCUAAAGCAUGCGGAGAAUGUCAAGAGAGGUCGGGGUGGACCGAAUUUGACAUGGGAGGAGUCCGUUAAGAGAGACAUGAACGAUUGGAGUAUCACCAAAGAACUAGCUAUGGACAGGGGUGCGUGGAAGCUUGCUAUCCAUGUGCCAGAGCCAUGAGUGAUCGCGAGAUCUUAUGGGUUUCACCUCUAGCCUACCCCAACUUGUUUGGGACUAAAGGCUUUGUUGUUGUUGUUGUAGAGAGAGACAAAAAAUGUACCUACAGGUUGCAUUCGUAUUCGACUGGUUUUGGGGUGGAUCUAUUGGUCCGCGUGUUCCAGAACAUGGAUGGUGGCACCGUCCCUUCUCCAUUGGAUGCGCGUGUUCUAGAACAUGGAUGGUGGCACCGUCCCUUCUCCAUUGGAUGCAGCUGAUCACCAGGCACCAGCACCAGCAGACGGUUUACGAUGGAGGCCGCCUGCCGGCGUUGGCGUAAUUCCAGCACAUUUUGGUCCUUGGCAGCAUACCAACAGGCGGGGCGGCGAGGGGAGGACUGUAGGGGGAGGAGCACCUACUCAAGGCAAACGGCAGAAUCGACGGCCAACGACAUCGAUACAUCGGGGGCGAACUGUGACCUAAGGAUACGACGAGCAAGGGCGGAGAAAGGUCAGAGAGUCGCGCGGGGAGAUGUAGCAGGCAGAGCAGCACACGGGACAGCGGCAGCGAAACCCUAUCGCUGGUGCAUGCCCCACGCAUUCCUCAUCUCUUCUCUCCAGCUAAUCCUCCCUUCUUUUGCGUGGUAACAAAUCCUCCCUUUUAAUUUGCCAUUAAUACCUGAGCAGACCGAACCAAUCCAUGUGAACGCCAUAUUGCUGAAUCGUGGGCUAUGCAGCUGCAUGCAGGCCACUAAUCAUGGGAAUAAAUUUAUUUUUUGGUCACGCAGCGAAACAUUCCGUUCGCUCGCUCGAUACAUGGCAGAGUUUUCGUCCGCUCUGGUAAACUGCUAAUCGUACACAGGUGAUGGUUCAUUUUUAUGUGGACGGUUAGAUCUAAUUAGAUGGGCUGGAUCAUGAGGUGGUAUUUUAUCUUGAUUGUCCUGUAUACAUGUUUUCGGGUGCGCUUAGGGAAGAAUAUAUUUGCUUGUUUAAUAGCAGUAGAGAUGACUGGCUAACCAUCUUUGUGAAGAAAUAGUCGACUUUGUACCAUUUCAUGUAGUGAUUUUUGUUUCCUUGCGGCUGGGUAUUGCACCUAUUAAUAGGGUGCUAAUAAUGUUUUCUUGUAUGGACUCUAAUUUUUUGCUUUGAGAAAAUAUUAACCCAUAAAUUUCUCAACAUUCUAGGAAGUUCACGACUACCUUAAAAGCCUCUGUCCUGAUCUCCACAUUACCAGAGGUGAAUAUGAUGAGGAUGCUCGCUACCCAGAGACUAAGACAGUUACUAUUGGUCAGUUCAAGCUAGGGCUAUGCCAUGGCCAUCAGGUUCGCUCUUAAUUGAUAAUUUUGUUUUGCUCUUUUAAUUUCUGUCAUGCUCAUUGUUGGAGAAAAAAUAUUCAUGGCCUUUUUUGGUUGUUGAAAGUCAACAGUUAAUACCUUGAAUUGGAGUUCUUGUUGUUGACAAAUUAUAAACACUUUUUUUAUGCCGUACACCUCAGAAACAUGGUUGAGUUUUUAUCACUAGCAUGUUUGUCAUUUUCUCUUGUUGGCAUGGUCUGUUGCUGUAAUAAUUGUUAGGUGAUGUUUUGUUCAAGAGCUGUAGUGUUAGUUUAAUUGUAGUAGGAUUACAGGGAGGUGGGUAAUGCAUGGUUGACGCAGUGGUUCAAUCAGGGAAAUGGUUUUAGAUCCCAUGUGUUCUGUUGAGGAAGUGGUAUAAUAAGAGUUACCGAAUCACAUACCAAUGUAGUGCGAUUCUGGUGGGAUAUUGCUGAACCAAUAGCUUCUUAGUGUAUUGUAGUGUGGGCAUUUUUAUGGGAUUAAUAAAUAGUUAAUUAAUACGAGUUCACGUAUCAGAAAGAUCAACGCUAAACGCAAUUUGCUUUUCUUCUGCCUCUCUAUUAUGGCAGUAUAAUUUGCUCUUAGUAUUUUCAGUGAGAAAUGUUUACUAACUACUAGGAUCAGAUCCUUAACAAUUAAGCAUACAUAUCUAUGCCAUAUGAUCAUAUUGUCACUUGGAAGGUCAACUGUCUUACUGUUCUCCUACCGAGUCGCACAAAUUGUAACCAUUGACAAUUGCUGUUACCGGGCGAAUUGGUUGAGAUGUUGCAAUCUAGAUGCCGUCGUGUGUUCAAAUGAUCCAGGGUUCAUUGAAGCAAAGGUGUCCUUCAAAGUUCGAUGAGUGAUGGACCUUAUGUGGUUUAGCAUUGACUGGAGUAACGGAGUGAAUGAGGGUGCACACAAUUUUCUUUCCACAUAUUUCCGCAUCCAAUAUUUACAUCCAAGAAAUAGAUUGAUAAAAAAUGUCCAUGAAGUGAUCUGAUACUCACUCUAUAGGGAUAUCAAGCACGCUCAGUACAUUGAACUUUCACCUUUGCAGAGUCAUGCAUGAUGCAUGAUACUCCCUCCGUUCCUAAAUAUUUGUCUUUCUAGAGAUUUCAACAAGUGACUACAUACGGAGCAAAAUGAGUGAACUCUACACUCUAAAAUAUGUCUAUAUACAUCCGUAUGUGGUAGUCCAUUUGAAAUCUCUAAAAAGACAAAUAUUUAGGAAUGGAGGGAGUAGUUCAUAGUUGGUUUGUUAUGUCUACUUUAUUCACCUGCACCAUAUCAUGCACACCACUGACAAUUUUGAGUAUGCCAAUGUCUCUUGUGUUCUAGUAAAAGUCGUCUUCGAAUGUAAUUUGCCAACAACCUUUUUUUCUCCCAAGAAAUCACAAAAGCCUUGUUUCAUUGCAUUGAUAGAAAGGAGAGUCUGUACAAGCCCAAAGAUGGGCAACACCUAGAGAAUACUACCCGACGGUCACAGUUGCUAGGCAAGGUAAAUGCCGAAAGCAAAGCCGCACUUGUCGAUGGCCAUUGCCUGGCCUCUGUUUUGAAUGUGUCAAGUAGGUGUGUCAAGUUGAGCCACACCUUGUCGAAGAUGAUCGCGUUUUGAUGCUUCCAGAUGCACCAAGCUGCCAGCAUUAUAGCUGAGAACGGGCUCUUCUGGACUGAGGUGUGGAUUGAAUGGCAACUUAGUUGCCACCAAUCCACAAAAUCAACACUCGCAACACUUGAGCGGUGGGGGUGGGAGAGGGGUCAGUCGGAUCCAGGAGAGCAACUCAUGCCACACCAUGCGCGAGAAAUAACAACCGGUUAGGAGAUGAGCCAUUGUUUCCCACUGGUCUCAAAGCAUGCAAUGAGGAGCAUGAUGGAGACCCCGCCGCGCAAGCCGCUGGGAGGUCCAAUAACAAUCCUGACAGGCUAGCCAACGGAAGAACUUGACUCGAGGAGGAGGUCCGUACCAAAUCAGCUCCAAGAGCUUGAAACCGUCGCUCCCUGAAAGAGUGUGUCGCAACAGCUCUUAGAAGUGUACCGGUUGUCUGCAGUCCAAUGCCAAAGAAGGACGUCUGGGGUGGUGGUUAGCUGCAUCAUGCACAACUACCGGCAGAUCUCGAUAGGCAGGGGGUCAAGGCCCCCUGAUGUUCGAGAUCCAUCAACGGCUGGUCAGGGCCUCCCGAAUGGUUCGUCGCUUCCUGGUGCAGCCAGAGACCAAGAGCACUAACUCGGGAGCCAGCUCCCCAUUGCCAUGACCAUCGAGCGAGCGAUCCUCCCAGAAUAGGAGCAACUCCAUCAACCAUCUUGGUGGAGACUCAAACACCCAUCGCUCGUCUUUGGACGGAGGGGGUCUGUGUGUAUCCUCCACAACCAGCGAACCCCGAGACCAAUUGUCGUGUGACCAAGGUCCGGAACACCCAAGAGAAGGGGCCUACACACCCGCAACUAGUUGACAUGACAAUGGUCGCCGUCGUACCCACCUAGAGGAAACCGCAGGAUCUUGUCAAUUUUCUUUCGGGUCUUCUUUUGCAUGCCCAGGACUACUAAGUGGUGCAAAGGCAUGGUGGCCAGGACCAACUUGACCAAGGUGAGCGCCCCGCCUUUGCCAUCAUGGAUGCCCAGGCGGUUUGCGAUCAUGUCUUCCAAAGGUUGGAAAGCCUUACACGAGGACUUCCUGAGCCUGAGUGGGAUCCUGAGGUACUUGAUCAGGAAAGGAGCUAGCUGACACUCCAUCACCGUUUUCUUCUCCAAGGCCUCCUAACACCUAAUGAGGGACACCGAACAUUUGGCAAAGUUGGUGUGCGCAUGCAAGCUGCGGACAAUGGGCAACUUCACCCUAUCCGUGUAGUAGAAGAUGACAACAUCGUCCGUGUACAGUGAGACGGGUUGUCAGGUCGCGUGUUGCUAGGUGACGGAGCAAUCCGAACUCUCUUAUAACCUACCAAAAAACCUGUUGAGAGUGUCUACCACCAACACAAACAACAUAGGGGAGAGCGGGUUCCCCUGCUACAUGCCCCUAUGAUGCUAGACUAGAGGCCCUGGUUCACCAUUGAGCAUCACUCCUGUCCUACCGGUGGACAGGAGUAUGGCAAUCCACUCAGGGAAGCGUUGGCCAAAGCCUACCCGCUGAAGUACCUCAAAUAGAGCCCACAACAUUGAGCUGAAUGCAUGAGCGAUAUCCAACUUGAGCAUGGCACGCGACUCACCCAUCUGGUGCACCGUGCAGAUAUCUUGCCGUCUGCUGAACCAGCAUAAAAUUAUCACGAAUGCAACGUUUCUUGAUGACUGUGCAUUGGUUCUCCUCAACCAAGCCCCCCAAUCUGGGAGGCAACCUGCUAGCCAACGUCUUGGCCACCACCUUGGCAAAGAUGUGUAUGAAGUUGAUGGGUUGGUAGUCUCAAAGGGUUGAUGGGUCGGAUAUCUUGGGCAACUGGAUUAGUAGGGCUUGGUUUAGACCAUGGAAACCCUGCCCACACAACGAGUGCAACUUGGUGAAGGCUACAAGAUUGCAGGACCUCUGCCGUGAAUCUGUCCGGCCCUGACGCCUAUCCCCGCAACAGCUGACAAAUCACCUCCUAAGCUUCCUCGUUAAUGGGGUCGUCGAGGCUGGCCAAGUUCUCCAAGCAUGACUCUGGUAAUUCUAGGUUCAACGAGAACUCGCAGCCCUCGCCUGUGCCAAGAAGCAUGUUGAAGUGAUCGAAGUUAGCCUUGGCCAUAGUUGCGUGGUCAGAAACCACCACUUCGUCGGCUACAAGGCCGUGGAUCACUUGCUUUUGCUUUUUGUAGGAGGUUGGUGUCACCCUCAGCCAACCAGGCAAUCUUCCAACCUUGCCUAGCCAUGGUGCGAAGCGAGUCCUAGGUAGGCGUGCUUCAGCCUAGCACGCAACUUGCGCUCAAGCUUCGAGAGCUGCCUCAACUUCAUGGUAACAUCGAAGCGGAAGAUGAGCUCCCUGGAAAUCACAAGUGGUAGUUUGACACUACCCAUCUGCUUGUCGUUCCAACUCCUCAACUGACGAGUUUUGUUCUUGAGCCGCAUGACGAGGCGUCAAAAGGGGUCGGGCUCAUCGAUCGCGGCCGCCCAUACCCUCAACAACCGUCUUGUUGAAUCCAGGCUCCUUGGCCCACACUCUCGAACUAGAAACGUCCUCUACAGGGAGGCCACAGUGUGCAAUCCAGAAGGGGCAGUGGUCGGAGAUAAAGGUGGAGAGACAGCGAGGCGAACAAUUUGGGUGGAGCUCCUCCUAGUUCAUCGUGCUCGAGCUUGACCAAAUCGGGAGCACCACACUCGUUAGACCACGUGUAGCGUUGACCAUGAAGGUACAACUCUUUGAGCUCGCAAUCAUUUAGGUAGCAGUGCCCCCUGUGCGGCGGUGGAGGUUGUUGUUGCUCUUGUCCUCGUUGUGGUGGGUCAUACUGAAGUCACUUCAAAGUACCCAAGGGCCCGGACGUAUAGCUCUCAUGUUGUAGGGUGGAACCCUAAGUGAAGAUCUUUCACGAAUUGGAGGGGGAAUCCCCAAGAACAAGAUGAACACAAGAGGGAAAACAAGAGGAACACUCAAGAACAAGUCCAAAUCACACAUCCACUAGACUAACAAACACACAAGAUCCACAAGGUACAUGAACAAUCAAAGGGAAAUAAGAUACAUGGUAGAGUUCAUCCCAAAUCCUAUGAAGGAGAUGAGGGCUUGAUGAUCUAGGUAGAUCCUUCCCUCAAGGGGGGCUUGAAUCCCUAGGGAUCUUCUCCAAUGGAGGUCAUGAUCUCCAUGAGGAGGAAGAUGAGCAAAGCUCUCUCUUUGUCUAUCAAAUACUUUGCUAUCCUCUAAAUGAGCUAGGAGAUGCCCUUAUAUAGUUUAGGGACGAAAUAAGAGAGGAGGGGGGAAUACAAGGGCAAAAAGCCCAAAAGGCACGCAGGCCUCGGAGGGGUCCGGGCACCCGGUGCAAAGGGGUCCGGGCACCCGGACCGGACAGGGACCCGAUGAAGGGGGCCCGGGCACCCGGGGUCCUAAGCCCGGGCACCCGGGGUCGGUGUAGGCGGCUGGGCGGCCUCGGCCGGGCACCCGGGGCGGGGGCUGGGCCGGCGCUGGGAGGAGGUCGGGCACCCGGGGGUGGCGACCCGGGCACCCGGGGUGGGCUGCACAGCACCCUGGUGGUCAGGGCNNNNNNNNNNNNNNNNNNNNNNNNNNNNNNNNNNNNNNNNNNNNNNNNNNNNNNNNNNNNNNNNNNNNNNNNNNNNNNNNNNNNNNNNNNNNNNNNNNNNNNNNNNNNNNNNNNNNNNNNNNNNNNNNNNNNNNNNNNNNNNNNNNNNNNNNNNNNNNNNNNNNNNNNNNNNNNNNNNNNNNNNNNNNNNNNNNNNNNNNNNNNNNNNNNNNNNNNNNNNNNNNNNNNNNNNNNNNNNNNNNNNNNNNNNNNNNNNNNNNNNNNNNNNNNNNNNNNNNNNNNNNNNNNNNNNNNNNNNNNNNNNNNNNNNNNNNNNNNNNNNNNNNNNNNNNNNNNNNNNNNNNNNNNNNNNNNNNNNNNNNNNNNNNNNNNNNNNNNNNNNNNNNNNNNNNNNNNNNNNNNNNNNNNNNNNNNNNNNNNNNNNNNNNNNNNNNNNNNNNNNNNNNNNNNNNNNNNNNNNNNNNNNNNNNNNNNNNNNGUGAUCUUCAUCACGAUGGGAAAGAGAGGGCGUCGCCGUGUAGGAGUUGACAACCACCAAGUACUCAUCAUGUGGAAGCUCGAAAUGGUCACUCUCCAAUGUCGCACCGUCUUGUGAUUCCUUCAAAAGGAACGAGUAGAACAAACACUUGGAAAAACAAAUGCGGUUAGCAUUAGAGCAUAACCAAGCAUUCAAGAGGUGAGUAACCAAACAAGUGUCGUCAUCAAGUAUAGCAUAUGGUGUGACAAGGGAUUGUGGCAUGGCAUGUAAGCAUAUAAAUUGAGCACAUGAAGAAGCAUCAUGGAAACAAUCAUGCAAGGGUGAGGUAAAGGUGCUAAUUUGUGGGACAAGUGAACAAGCAUCUACCUCAAUGUCAUAGCAAGCAUGCAUAAGACUCUCAAUGAACGUUCUAUGGUAGGCAUAAGAGUCAUCCACAACACCCAAGAAGAUGAUAUGACUAAACACAUGCAAGUGCAAGACAAUCCAAGCAUAAUGUGCAUAGGGUGUAGUGAAAAACGAGUGGCACUCAACACAAUAGAAAGAGAAAUUGUUCAUCAUGUGUGAGGCAAUCAAGGCAAGCAUGUAGCAAUCAAUGGGACAUGGCAUAUGUGAAGGAAUGACAUUGUUGCAACCAAACAUGUGAUAGGAGCAAGUAAUCCAAGAAGUGGAUGCAACAUGAGAAAGCAUAAAAAUCAAGUCGUGCAAACUAGUAGAGCGAAGAUGCAACACACUAGAGGAAAUCAUGGCAAUCAUGUCAUGUGAGCAAAUAAUAAGCAUAGACAAUGCACAUGGCAUAUCGCAAGCACGAUUACAAAGCAAGAUAUCAUCAUAGUCAUGGGGCUCAUAGCAAACAUGGCAAUAACAAGCAAUAUUUCCACCAAGCUUGCAAAUACACAUACAAGUAGUAGAGUCAAUCAUCAUGUGUAAUGCAAAGCAUGGGUCACAAAUGCAUGGCAAAGGCAUAGGAAUGAGCAUAUCAUGCAAAGUGAACAUGGCAAUAUGGGCAUAAAGUGAGAAGUGGUAAAUAACCCAUAACCAAGUGAGAGCCAUGUAGAAGAAAUGCGCGAAGUCCUUGCGCGAAGAGAGCGGUGGGAAAGACACUCCAUGGAAUCCCAAGUCAUCGUUGCUCUCUAGAGCUCGUUUUGUCAACUCAUGGGAUUGUGAGGUUGACAAGUAUUCAUGGGUACCUACACAAAAGAAACACAAACCAAAGAAAUUGUGCGCGUGGUAAAUGUACACAUCAUCCAUCAUAUGAUGUGUAUGUGCACAUGUGAGUUAGCACAAGAUAAGCAUCGCUCAAAGAAAUUUGAUGCAUGGUAUAAGAACAUGUCAUCCAUCAUGAAAGAAUAGUUAUUGUGUAUGACACGAUGGGGGCACAAAUUGAGAAUGCAAGCAUAUGGCACAUCACUAGCAUGUUUAUAUAUGGGGAGCAUAUGGUGCACACAAGUAGUGUGAUCAUGCAAUGGAUAGGAUGAAUCAAAAUCUCCUAAAAUGUAUGAGGAAACUAUGGGGGUCUCCUCAUGAGCAAUAGUGGAAACAUCAUAUGGAGAAUAUGAACUACAUCCAAAACAAUGUAUAUCCGAAGCUAGGUGGUCAUGGCAUGGCAUAUGAGAUAAAUGAUGCAAAGGAAGCAUACCAAUGAGAUAAAUGAUGCAAAGGAAGCAUACCAAUGAGAUAAAUGAUGCAAAGGAAGCAUACCAAUAUCUCCUCAUGAGAUAAAUGGCCUCGCAUGCCCUAUCAACUACCUCACUCUCUCUAUGUGGUGGUGGCUCACUCACUCCCUCAAGGUAGGUGCACUCAAUGUCACAUAUGGUGGAGUCACUCAAAUCACUCAAGUGGUGGUGUUGGCGGCUCUCCUCACAUGGAAAUUGUGGCAACUCAUCAUAUAUGGGGCUAGUGGUGAAGUCACUCUCACUCUCAAUAUGGUGGCACAAGUCACUCAAGUUAUCAUACGUCGUCGUGGUCGAAGGGAAAAUCGCAUGCUCAACCAUCUCGUCGCCGUCGCCGUGGAGGAAGGCCGAUGUAGGCGUACUCGUCGGAGGUAGGUGAAGAUGCCAUACGUCCAAAGGCGAAGAUGCCUUGAUGACACUUGGCGAAGAUGCCGAAGUGGUGGUAGUAGUAGUAGCUCCGUCUUGUUGGUGCUCGUCUCGCGGUCUUCUCUUGUGCUCAUGAUGUCUGGCUGUAGCUUGAUGUAGAGCUUGUUGGGACUUGUAGGUGUACGCAUCGCGAGCAGCUUCAUCUUGAUGGUGUUGUAGUGCUUGAGCUCGAUGACGUUCCGAAGAUUGGCCACUUGAGCGUCGCCGCCUUGAAGAUGACGAAGGGGAAGAAGACUUGUAGUUGGCCAUCAUGUCUCGUACUUGAUCCCUUUGUUCGGCCAACUUGGUGUCGAGGUAGUCCCUUAUCCUUGCUUCGUUUUGGCGAAUGUCGAUGGCGAGUCGCUCAAUGCCUUGCAUUGCUCGUUGUAGUCCGAAGAUGGACGUUUUGGAGAUGUAGUUGUUCGCGCUGUCGUUGUCGUGGAAGACCGGAGAUGAAAUGCCUUGCCUAUCCAUCACAAGACUCGAGUAGAGGUGAGUAGGAAAUGAGAUAAACAAUACCAAGUUACCUUUUCUCAAAGUUGAGGAUGUAUCCCGUUUCACUCAAUGUGAGAUGAAAGAAUAGUGGAAUUGGUACCGGACUUGUUCACUCACACCUAUCAAGUAAAGCUUAUAGUGGAGCUCGGUGAGGAUAGUGGCACAAAAAUUUGGUGCAAAAUGUUAGCAAGAGUCAAUAAUGUUGGAAAAGAUUCACAAAUUCGCAAGCGAAACAAGUAGACCAAUAGCAAUAUGUGGCACACGGAAACACACACACGGAUGGAUAAAUGGGGUCGUGCAACCAAGGAAUGAGCACAAAAUGUGGAAUCCACGGAAAAACGCUCGUGUUGCACAACUCAAGAGAGACGCUAGCACGAUUGCUCAAUAGGCGGAUACGACACUUGUGCAAAACCUAUAAGAUGCAAGAUGUAUGAGCUUUCUAUCCCAAGUAUGCUAUGUGUAUGAUGUUCCCGGUGUUUCGCACACGAUGAUCCAAGAUGAUCAAUAUGGUAGUAUGGUAUGCAAUGUGGCGAUGCUAUGGCUCUUGCUUACAAGCUCUUUGCUCUCUUUUUCUUUUGCUUAAAAGCUUAUUGUUUUUUUUUGAUAUGGCCACUUAUGCGAAAUACACAAACCAAGAUAGCAAUUGUGUAUAUGCGGGAACGAUCUUGUGACACAAGGGAUGAUAUGAUGAUACCACGAUGAUACCAAUAUGAUAUGGUAUGUAUGCAAUGGAAGGUACGGAUCACUAAUGUGCACAAGUAACGUUGCCGGCAAUACUCAAAUGGCUAGUCUCGAUAGGCAAGUGACGCAAAAUGGGCUAAGGGGUUAACAAUGUAAUGGCAAGAAUGUACAAUGAAGGGAUACCACGAUACCAAGAUGAUAUAGAGGUUACCGUUCUUGCUUACGGUUAGGUUGUCAAAAUGGUGAAGUGGUCGAUGUCGAUGACGACCUCGUGGCGAUGAUGAGUGGCGGUGUUCUUGAUGUAGAUACCAAGAUGAUGUAGACCCGUCCCUAAGUAGCCGAAACACCUUAGGAAACGGUAAAAAACCGCGAACUCAAAAUCUCAAGGAAAAUGUCAAAUGGCGAUAGCGGAAUGCGUUGGUGGUUCCGGAGUUAGCAAUGCGGAAGUGGUGGUGGUGGUUGAUGACGAAGCAACCGUCCCUAAGUAGCCGAAACACCUUAGGAGACUCAAGUCACCACUCAAGCAACCACAAAUGCUAUAUGGAUCGAAAAUGGGUUAAGUUGCGGAAAGCUAUGGUGGUUUUGCGGAUGAUAUGGUGGAUGGCCUAUGCAAAGAUGCCAAAAUGCCAAAUUUUUGAUGGAGUCAAAUGAUGUUGGAACCUAUCUAGAUGGAUGGGGGAUGUCAAUAGCUACUCAACGAGCUAAAGAACGUCAAAAUCGGACUCCNNNNNNNNNNNNNNNNNNNNNNNNNNNNNNNNNNNNNNNNNNNNNNNNNNNNNNNNNNNNNNNNNNNNNNNNNNNNNNNNNNNNNNNNNNNNNNNNNNNNNNNNNNNNNNNNNNNNNNNNNNNNNNNNNNNNNNNNNNNNNNNNNNNNNNNNNNNNNNNNNNNNNNNNNNNNNNNNNNNNNNNNNNNNNNNNNNNNNNNNNNNNNNNNNNNNNNNNNNNNNNNNNNNNNNNNNNNNNNNNNNNNNNNNNNNNNNNNNNNNNNNNNNNNNNNNNNNNNNNNNNNNNNNNNNNNNNNNNNNNNNNNNNNNNNNNNNNNNNNNNNNNNNNNNNNNNNNNNNNNNNNNNNNNNNNNNNNNNNNNNNNNNNNNNNNNNNNNNNNNNNNNNNNNNNNNNNNNNNNNNNNNNNNNNNNNNNNNNNNNNNNNNNNNNNNNNNNNNNNNNNNNNNNNNNNNNNNNNNNNNNNNNNNNNNNNNNNNNNNNNNNNNNNNNGUGCGGGUGCCCGGGGUUGACGGAUUUGGGCGGAAAUUCGUGGGAAAGUGCAAAAAAUUGGUGGAUUUCGUGGAGGGAAAGGUGGAGAUGGAUGGGGGGAAGGCUAGAUCCACUGGAAACCAAGCAAAUCCAACAAAAUCUCAACAAACCAACAAAUCACAAAAUAUUUUGGGGCUAUUUUUGGUGGGUAAUUUUCGAAUUUGGGGAAGAACACAACAAAAUUAGGCUAGAGAACAAGAAGGGGGGCUCCAAUUUCGUGAGAAACCAUGGCUCAUGAUACCAAGAUGUUGUAGGGUGGAACCCUAAGUGAAGAUCUUUCACGAAUUGGAGGGGGAAUCCCCAAGAACAAGAUGAACACAAGAGGGAAAACAAGAGGAACACUCAAGAACAAGUCCAAAUCACACAUCCACUAGACUAACAAACACACAAGAUCCACAAGGUACAUGAACAAUCAAAGGGAAAUAAGAUACAUGGUAGAGUUCAUCCCAAAUCCUAUGAAGGAGAUGAGGGCUUGAUGAUCUAGGUAGAUCCUUCCCUCAAGGGGGGCUUGAAUCCCUAGGGAUCUUCUCCAAUGGAGGUCAUGAUCUCCACGAGGAGGAAGAUGAGCAAAGCUCUCUCUUUGUCUAUCAAAUACUUUGCUAUCCUCUAAAUGAGCUAGGAGAUGCCCUUAUAUAGUUUAGGGACGAAAUAAGAGAGGAGGGGGGAAUACAAGGGCAAAAAGCCCAAAAGGCACGCAGGCCUUGGAGGGGUCCGGGCACCCGGUGCAAAGGGGGCCGGGCACCCGGACCGGACAGGGACCCGGCGAAGGGGGGACCGGGCACCCGGGGUCCUAAGCCCGGGCACCCGGGGUCGGUGUAGGCAGCUGGGCGGCCUCGGCCGGGCACCCGGGGGUCCAAGGCCCGGGCACCCGGUCAGGGCUGGAGCGGGGCGCGGGCAAGGCUGGGCACCCGGAGCCAAGGGGCCGGGCACCCAGGGCGGGGCUGGGCCGGCGCUGGGAGGAGGCCGGGCACCCGGGGGUGGCGACCCGGGCACCCGGGGUGGGCUGCACAGCGCCCUGGUGGUCAGGGCCGGGCACCCGGGGUGGCCUGGGCCUUGGCCAACCGGCAGCUAGUGGCCAGGCACCCGGAGGGGUCCGAGGCCUCCGUAGCUUCGCGCUCUUCUUUUCUUCAUGUGCUUGUGUCUCCGUCCUCGCCUCUUCACGGUCUUCUUCUUGGUACCUACGAGUGCAUAGAGUUUCCAUAUGAGGUAGAAUCCGACUCUCGUGUGACACCGAAAGAGACCCGGAGAGGAAAGAGUUCACCUCGGUUUCGAUGGUGCGUGCGCGAGCUCUUGUCGUAGGUCCUCUCCGUGCUUGCGGUGUGACGUCCAUGGGGAUGGUCGAGGGAUGCUCCGCAUCAUCUCACCUCUCGCAUUUUGUUGAGGAAGACAAUCUUGUCCGCGUGCCCUUGUGGUCCUUGAGACGCAAGUCACGACACAAGAGCUGUAAGAGCAACUCCAACGCGCCGACCCAAAUGGACGAAAUGCGGACCGACCCAAACGGACGCGCGCUUUGUCCAUUUGGGUCGGCCAGGCGGACGUGCGCGUCCGCUUUUUGAUUUGGGUCGGCUGGUGCGCCCAACGGAAGGCAUACCCAAUUUUGCCCAUGUGGCCGAAGUAAACUUAAUAAAAUACUCCUUUCGUUCCUUUAUAUAAGGUGUAUUUGUUUUUUGAUAAAAUUCCAUGUGGGCCCGCGGUAGGUGGCUGCGUUAAAUACGACCGCUUCCUGAUUUUCUAUAUCUCUCCUUGUAGCAAAAGAAGGAACUAUCUCUCUGUCAAUUGCAAGUAUCUCUUAUUUUCCUGGACUAACUGAUUUACUUGCCACUAACAAACGAAUUUGCCAAGGGUAAUUUUGUCCUAACUUGUCUAUAUUUAGGUGCCUUGGUCACCGUGCCAAAAAUAAUACACCUUACAUAAAGAAACGGAGGGAGUAUAAUUAAACAUAAAUGGCCAGUCAACCGCUGACCAAAGUCCUCUUAAACACUACGAGCACACAUGCCCGUGCGUUGCUAUGGGAGAAAACUAAGUUGUCCAUAUCCUUGUGUAUCGGUGAUGAGUGCCAACGGGUUGAGCGAGGCGAGAUUCCGGCCUUCGGCACAAGAUUUGUCCAAUAUCCUAGGGUGGCAUUUGCACAUGUUUCCCCGAUUGGCGAGCAUGACGACAAUGCCAACGAUCUAGGCGGACAGUCCGACCUGGAAAUCACAAGCUCUUCCUCAUCACCCAAAACACAUCCCGGUGUACCUUCUAUUCAAGGUGGCUCGUCUGAUCAUAGUUGUCAGCUCUCAAUCUAGAGUAAGGACACCAUGGUGAGUUCGCCACACACUUGGAGCGGCUCCACCCUUCACAUUCAUUGGUCAAUGUUAUUGUCGAUUGGGGGAAAUCCAUGAGAACUCGGCCAUCUCAUUUCCUCUUUCAUCGCAUCCCACAUAAACCACAACUUCAAAAUUGUAGUAUUGUGGAGAUUUUUAAACUCAGUAGUGGUAUAGACAUGGUACCACAAAAAUAUUAUAGAAGAAGCUUUUUAUGCAGCUAUGACAACAUGACAGUAAGGUGGUCACUUCAUAAUUAAAGUGCCCAACUAACGAAAGUUUUUUCACAACCAAAAGCACCGGCAAUAGCACAUGUUCCUCCAAAACUAAGGGGAACAAUGCAUCAAGCACACGCUGGAACCAUUUCAAAACAGGUAAGAUUGUAAUUUAAUGACGCUGGAACCAUUUCAAAACAGGUAAGACUGUAAUUUAAUGACGUCGAACGGAAAUGAAAAACCAACACCUGAGGAUGGUUGCUUAUGUAAGAACAGAAACGUUGAAAAACAAAAGAAUAAACCAUUUUCAUAAAUUUCCUAAUACAUGCAGAUGAAUAAAAGUUGGAAGGCCCAAACGGCAUGCGUCAAUACACAUGCAUCCUAGAUGAAAGUGAAUGCAAAAACAUGAGGUGCAGCCAAAACCAUCAACCAGAUGAAGGAAUAAUCAUUAUAUGCUUUAUGGAAUAAUCUGGAGCCUGGACAUGUUUAUCAUUGAUCCAGACUAAUCUCAAAUGUGAUUUUUUAGCUUAUAAAUACAUGGUUGAAUGACCACAGCAAUUUUUUGACAGGAGGCAGUUUAGUGAAAUGUAAUUGUUCAUCUGCAGAGAAAGCUCGUCUGCUCAUGCAUUGAAUGUAUAAAGGCAAGUUUUCUUUUUUGGUGUGUGAGGAAAUAUGAACCGGUAAGUAGUUUGUGCAUCCUUCUGCUCGUCUAGCUGAUAAGGAAUUCCCUGUAGUCAUUUUGCUACGGUAGACAUGCAAUGUAAAACCCCAUGAUUAUCAGCCGGGUUUGAAAGCUGUAUGGCAGUCAAUCUAACAGAAUCUAAAUGCAACUUGAUUUUGCAGCUUUAAACCUCAUUAAAUUCACUUACAUGUAUGUGGUGAACUUGCCAUAUAAAAUUCUAAAGAAAAAUCUGACCUUGUAAAUCUCUAAUACUUACAUGUAUGUGGUGAAAGUCAGACCUCGUAAGAACCAAGCACAAAACUGAUAAGCAGAUACAAGAGGUUGCUGCAUAUUUUUCCAUAAAUGAUGGUCACACCAACUUACUUAUAUGGGAUAGACAUCUGAAUAAAGAGGCCCCGGUGGUGACUGGUGACGCACUUAAUAGCACGGGACAUUUAGUAUCGACUAAGCUAGCUCUGAAGACGGCAUUAAACUAAACACCAUACAUGGUUGCUAUGGUUGAACAUGACAGAAAAAAAGGUGAGGGGAUCAGGUUCUUGUUCUCACCAUUCAUGGUAGCACUUGAUGCACAUAUCAUGGCUGAAGUUGGGCAGCACAACCCCUGCUGUUUUUUAACUCCACGCAGACCUCCCACUCCUUGCCUAUGUCAGCGUCAAUCUCGGAGACCGACCUCUUGCUCGCCACUAACUCCGAGCAAACUGCCCUCUGCUUGUCGCACCCCUUCGUUGCAGUCACAUGAGGGAAGAAAAUGUCACAGCUAUAGACAGACAAUGGGCGUCAGUAUCAUAGGUCCAAACUCCAAACUGCAACAUGAAGCUGCACAAUUACCACAAGAACGCAAGUGUAGCGACCACAAUAUGCCACCAAUUCUUGAAUCAAACCACACAAACACAAAGACUGAGCCUUGUAGCUGAGGAUCCGAGGAGGCGGAGUGCACCGGUGAGAUUGCAGACCGUUCACUGAGCGGAGGAAGAGGAAGAAGUGUGCGUCGGGGCUGUAGGACAUCGGCAUCUGCAGAUACGCCUGUCAUAGUCCCUCGAGCAGUCGGAGAUUCGACGUUAACAACGCUGACAUGCUGGAUGUCGGCCUUGAGCACCUUGAGAGAUUCCCUGGAGGACCUCCAUGUAGCGGAGGGCACCACCACCAUCCACGGCGCACUGCACUGCACUCACGGCCACCAUCUGAGCUGAUUCUGUGCACGCGGCCCAGCUGGCGGACGACUUCAGGGGGUCAACACGGGCGAGCAUCUUCUCCCGAGACGAACUCGAGGUGGCCAUGGCCGAUCUUGUGCGUCGCGGGGCAACGACAGGCGGUGGCGGCAACUCCUCAGUGUGGACGCGGCCAUCGGCGGCCAGAUGGAGGCGGCCUCCCUCCUCCCGCGCGAGCACGGCCGCCGCCUUGUCGUCCUCGCGACCGCAGCCAUCUCCGCCGCCGGGCACGUGGGGAGCCUAUGGCGACGGGGAACCUCAGCAGCGGGAAUUGACCUGGCAGGGAGCGGGGGAGGGUAGGGGGAGGUAAUUAAACAUUAAAAAAACCGUAAGCACCCGCACGCUGCCCUAGUCGUCCGCCUUGUCCUUGCCCUUGCCAUUGUCGUCGCCGUCGGUGAGGUCGAUGAAGACGGGAGGUGGCCCAGCCCACCCGAACGCGGCUUGAUAGGCCGCCAGGGCAGCCUCCUCCGGCGUCUGCUGCUGCGGCGGCAUUGCGGCGAGGCGGGCGCACUCUUCCUCCUCCUCGCGCUCCCUCUGCAUGCGCCGCUCACCGUCGGCGCUCUCCUCCGUCAGCGCNNNNNNNNNNNNNNNNNNNNNNNNNNNNNNNNNNNNNNNNNNNNNNNNNNNNNNNNNNNNNNNNNNNNNNNNNNNNNNNNNNNNNNNNNNNNNNNNNNNNNNNNNNNNNNNNNNNNNNNNNNNNNNNNNNNNNNNNNNNNNNNNNNNNNNNNNNNNNNNNNNNNNNNNNNNNNNNNNNNNNNNNNNNNNNNNNNNNNNNNNNNNNNNNNNNNNNNNNNNNNNNNNNNNNNNNNNNNNNNNNNNNNNNNNNNNNNNNNNNNNNNNNNNNNNNNNNNNNNNNNNNNNNNNNNNNNNNNNNNNNNNNNNNNNNNNNNNNNNNNNNNNNNNNNNNNNNNNNNNNNNNNNNNNNNNNNNNNNNNNNNNNNNNNNNCGGCGACGGCGGCACCACGCAGUCGCGGGCCGCGGAGUGGGCGAGGCCCCCUGCCAGCCUCGCAUGGUAGUCCGCCUACGCCUUGCGCCGCUCCUCCUCGAUGGAGGUCUGCAUGGCCGCCGCCUGGUAGGUAGCCUCCUCCUCCUCCGGCUUGAUGAUUGGGGGAGGGGAGGGGGUGAGUCUCGACGGCGACGGCGGCACCACGCAGUCGCCGGCCGUAGAGAGGGCGAGGGCCCCUGCCAGCCUCGUAUGGUAGUCCGCCUAUGCCUUGCGCCGCUCCUCCUCGAUGGAGGUCUGCAUGGCCGCCGCCUGGUAGGUAGCCUCCUCCUCCUCCGGCUUGACGAUUGGGGGAGGCAGGGGUUGGUGUGGUGGUGCUGCAUGCCGUGGCGCCGUUGCACCUCUGUGCUCGAGGGCAAAUCAGACCUCCCAAUGGGGAAAGUCCGAUGCGUACUCCAGCAUCCGUCGCUGCUCCGGCAUGAGCAGCUCCCGGCGCCUGUGCACCAGAAUCCGCUGUGGAUCCAGAUGCUAGUCGUGCGGUAGCGUCACGUCCGGGUACGGCAGCGGCUGCCUAAACUCCCAGUGCCACCGCGUUUGGUGCACCGGAAUGUGCAGCCGGAGGAGGAAGCGCGUGGGAGGAGGAAGCGCCGGGGUGAGCUUCCCCUUCUUGUUGGANNNNNNNNNNNNNNNNNNNNNNNNNNNNNNNNNNNNNNNNNNNNNNNNNNNNNNNNNNNNNNNNNNNNNNNNNNNNNNNNNNNNNNNNNNNNNNNNNNNNNNNNNNNNNNNNNNNNNNNNNNNNNNNNNNNNNNNNNNNNNNNNNNNNNNNNNNNNNNNNNNNNNNNNNNNNNNNNNNNNNNNNNNNNNNNNNNNNNNNNNNNNNNNNNNNNNNNNNNNNNNNNNNNNNNNNNNNNNNNNNNNNNNNNNNNNNNNNNNNNNNNNNNNNNNNNNNNNNNNNNNNNNNNNNNNNNNNNNNNNNNNNNNNNNNNNNNNNNNNNNNNNNNNNNNNNNNNNNNNNNNNCGCGCCGACCCAUUUCACUGAAAUGGGUCGGCGCGGACACGAAGCGGACACAUUUUGGGUUUGGGUCGGCGCAUUUGUCCGCGGUGACCCAAACGGACAUUGGUGUACGAAAUGGGUCGCCCGGUUGGAGUUGCUCUAAUUCAAUUGUUCAACCAUCCGCGUGACUUGUCCAAGCCACCAAGAUGCUGCCCCUCGUUUCGACAGCCGGCAAGAAGAAAUAAUCAUCAAUCUACGCCCAAGGAUUCUAUUAGCAAAUUAUGGACGUGGGGUGGGGAGAUGAUAGGUGGCCGCUGGAGUCAGAGUGGAAGCCGGUGCCGGAGUUGCGGCCAGCAUGGGAGCGGGAGGGGUGGAGGAGGUCGCUACCUAGCAGGAGGGCUCCUCUAUCUUGGAACAAGUAGCUCUUGAAUUUCGAUAGACCAAUGUGAUAUUAUUCUAGUAAAAUUGUCUUUCAUGUUGUCGGUACCAAUACUUACUUCCAUCUUGGGAUUGUGCGGUUUGUUAAUGAUUGUCACUGGAAUAUUUUUCCUAACCAUUUCAACUCUGAUGACCAUCAUCAGGUUGUUCCAUGGGGCGACCUGGACUCCCUAGCGAUGCUCCAGAGGCAGCUGGAUGUGGACAUCCUCGUCACCGGGCACACCCAUCAGUUCAAGGCCUACAAGCACGAGGGGGGUGUCGUCAUCAACCCUGGCUCAGGCACAGGCGCACACAGCAGCAUCACAUAUGACGUCAACCCGAGCUUUGUGCUCAUGGACAUCGAUGGCCUCCGGGUUGUUGUCUACGUGUACGAGCUCAUUGACGGCGAGGUGAAGGUUGACAAGAUCGACUUCAAGAAGACCGCCACGAUGCAUGGCUGAUGGUGCUUACGCAUGACAGAAAUCUGAUCAGCACACCACCACCAGCACCACCACCACAAUUUCCCCGACCUGGAGGUCCUUUUCCUUUGUACCCUUCUGCUCGAUAUGAAAAACUAGAGCUGUGUUUACAUAUUAGUGAAUGGGAUAUGCGUGAUAUGAUUCCAACUCGCUCACAACCAGAAACGGUUUGUCAAGGAGGCGUCCCCCCUCAUGUAUCUCUCACUCAGUAUGGUGACCGGCUGAAUAGCAGUUGGCGCUGGCGUUUUUUUAGUGUUAAUCUCAGCAGGUCGCUGGAUCGAUGGAAAGCCCAGUAUCUACCCUGGACGUUGAUGUGUGUGAACUCACCUGGUGCCACCUAAUUACUGCUUUGUCUCAAAAAUAAAAAAAACUAAUUACUGCUUUGUUGACGUGUUUCCUUAUCCAUGUACAUGAGAUUUUUGUACUAAUGGUGCUCUGGGCCGGAGCAACUUAGAUGAAUUCUCUCUCUCUGCCUUUAGGUAGUCGGUUCCCUUCCCUUUUGUCCUAGGAGGACUUUGAAUCUUUGUAGGUGUUUGUGGUCAUGUUUUCAGGCUUCUUUCUGAAUAAAGCCGGGGAGCCCUCCUUGUUAAUCUUUUUUUUGGACGGUGAUAAGUGCCGAAUGUGUGGGCUGAAAGAGGUCAGGCCGAACGCCCUUGUGGCCACCCACUGCGCCCCGUCAGUCUUUUUAUCGCUUUUUUUUAUUUCAAUUCUUUUGGGUUUUUUAUUUUUAAAAUAUUUUAUCUCUUCGACUGAAAAUCUGUUUUCAUCAAUAAAUCUGUCUGAAAAUCUGUUUUCACCAUUAAAUUUGUCGUGGCAAGAUCUUUAAAAUUAGAUCUUAUAUUGAUAUGUUUCGACAAUAUUUUUAUGGUCAAAAGUUAUCACGUCUACGGUGCUAAAAUUGCCAUGGUGUUUAAACUGAAGUUGUCAUGAUAUGUUUCAACUAUCUUUUUUUAGGUUUUAAUGUAAAUUUUAACACAUUACAAAAUUCUCAGGUUUUAAAUUAAAUUUUGACGCGUUACAAAAAUUAAUUAAUUUUGCCAGGGUCGAAGAAGGUAAAGUGUAGACUACAUUUGCACUAAUCUCAUAAAAGCUAAAAGUGCCAAGAUCAAACAAAAAAUAAUUCUUUUCCAUUACCAUGUUACAAAAACAUAAAACAAAAAAUUGCGAUGGUGUGAAAAAAAGGAAACUAAAAAUUGUCAUGGUGAAUUAGUAAAAUUUGCCAUGAUGCAUGAACUAAUUUUGACAUGGUUCAUAAUUAAACAAAUCCGUCAUCAAUUACUAAAAAAAAACC
RNAcentral lists this long non-coding RNA (56274 nucleotides) under Triticum aestivum (bread wheat). RNAcentral's name for it is "long non-coding RNA (TAES_LNC011885)". The stretch from base 6635 to 6769 matches the Rfam family "MIR1120/MIR1122 microRNA precursor family". The record is from RNAcentral. Lineage: Eukaryota; Viridiplantae; Streptophyta; Magnoliopsida; Poales; Poaceae.